AGUUAAUGUGAGCAAAAGUAGGAGCCGGCUCCGUGAUAUCUGGGUAGGUCCUCAGGCUUGAGCAACCACACAAAUCAAGCUUCCUCAACUUCAAAUUGAAAAUGGUGCUUGGAAAAGUUUGAAGUGAAUUACAGUGGGUAAGGUCUAACUUGCAUAGUCCGGUGAGGCUUCCAAUGGAAGAUGGAAUAAUCUCAAGAUUCAAGCAACGGUGCAAACUCAGUUCUUCAAGCCCUACCAAACGUGUCCAAGAUGAAGGUAGUGCCUGUAUGGCUGUGUCGUCUAAGAUGAGCACCGUUAAAUCUUCCAACGUGUCCUGAAUCUCGGGUAAAUUUUCCAAUUUUGAGCAACCCCGGAGAGAAAGUUGCUUUAGGAAUUUCAUAUCAGAAAGAUGAAAUGGAAAGAUUGUAAGAGAAGAACAGUGAGAGAGAUCUAAGCGAUAGAACUGCUUGCGACUAAAGGUUAAGGACACACCUUCCUUGAGUUUUGUGAACACUUUUAAGUGUAUGGUAUUAUUAGCCACUUCUUCUUCCUUAUAUCUGUCAAAAGUAAUUGAGAAAAUUUGACUGGAAGUUGGGAAAAGACCAUGGCGUCGACGUUUACGACGCCGUCGUGAGAAAUUGAUCUCUUUCAUCAUAUCCGGUUCCAGACGAGGGAAUCUUGAGAAAGUUUGACGUUGACGCUCGAGUAUGACAUGAGGGAAUCUGGGUUCACUGGUUGAAAACAUAUUAAGCUUCGGACAACGGGAAAUAUUAAUCCAUCCUGGUGAUGUGGAUAAAAUGUUGCUGGGAAUAUUUACACUUUCGAGAUUAGAACAAUUAUCUAAACAUAAAUAACUGAGCUUGGUGAGGAAUAUCGAGGAGUGAACUUCAAUCAACUUUUCACAAGAACUCAGAAUUAUUUCUUCAAUAUUUGGUGACAUAGAAAGGUCUGGUAUUCUAGUAAGUUUCAGAGAACCAGUCAGGUCGACCCUUUUCAACUUGGGUAAAUUCUGCCACAAAUACUAAAUGAAUGAGGUAACAAAUAAAAACUACUUUAUCUAUUUUUCUUCGGUAAACUAAUUUAUUUUUCAGAAAUGAUGAAAAUUAUAACUAAACUAUAUAAAAUUCCAUUUUAUUCUACUCAUCCUUAAUUUUUUUGUGAAAUCUUGAUUUUGGGAUAAUAUCACUUAAACUUAAGAAAUAUUUGGCAUUAAUGAACUCUAAACAAAUUCAUAUAAGAUAUACAUCACUUUCAAUCCAAAAUCUUAAACUAAUAGGUUUAUGAAUUUUCUUUAUAUGUUGUUUUAAAAAGUUGAGACUAAAUUGAACUUUUGAAAAUUGGGAGGAUGAAAUUAUAUUUUGUCUAUUAAUAUAGGGAUUAAAAAAAUAAUUGAAUCAAAUAUUACUAUUUUUGUGAUGUAUAUUUAUAUAUAAAUAAUUUUGAGAAUUUAGAGUUAUAUCAUAUAUAUAUAUAUAUAUAAAAUUCUUUUUGGUAAUGUAUCCUGUAAUUGUAAGCAAGUAUGAUUAUAUUAAGUGGGUGCGUUUCAAAUAGAGGAGACUACGCACAUACAAAUAUCUCUUAUAAAGUAAGAAAACAAACAAACCGUUACUCAAGAAGAUCAUGUAAUGCAUGACAGACAACAUGGGGAGAUAUCUAUCAUCAAUAAUAAAACGAUGUUUUCUGAGAGUUAAAAUUAAACCUUAUUUAAAAUAAGUCCAUCUUUCCAUAUUUUAUAAUUUGUUGUAUAUUAUAUUGAAGUUUAUGUUAUAAUAAAAAAAAUGACUUAAUUAAUCAAAUAAUGUGGAGAAGGCACAAAGGAAUUGCAAAUGAAAACCAGUAGAUGUAUAAUACAGAAAACAUGCUUGUAUAACUUAUUUUUGUCUUUGAAAGUUUAGAACACAAAGAAACAUAGAUAGCUUGAAAAACCUGAUCUCCUUCCCAAAGUUGUUCAAGAUUGCAGCCUGGCAUUUUGAGGGUCACUAGACUUUGUGGGCAAAAGUUUGGAGGCCAAAAUCUUUGAAGGAAAUUGUCCCAAUAAAGAAUCUUUAAAGUGUCCGGCAGAUCUACAAGAGAUGAUUCAAGAGACUCAUAAGAUUGUCCAUCUUUUCGAAACUUUGUGCAUGUACUACAGCAUCUUUUACUUUGUUCGUAUGUAGUAAUAUACACUGUAUUGCAUCUGACCCCUGAAAGUAAAUCAAUGUAAUUAGAAGAAAAAAACAUGAAAUGUUGCAUUGCAGGAUGUUUGAUGACAGCUCAGUGGUUUGCAAUUUUUCACAAAGUAAAUCCAUGUUCAAUUGAGUAACGACAUAAUACCUUGUUCUUUCUUAAAACCUCUCAAAUUUCCUCAGCAUUAAACAAUCGGCUGCGUUUUCCAGGAUGCUGAGGACACUCUUUACGAACAAUUUCUUGACUCAUUUCUUGUAUUAGAUCGUGCAUCACAAUUCUACCAUCAAAGACAGAUAUUAGGCCCCUAUCUUUGAGAAUAUCCAUUCCAAUCUUAGAAGAGAAACCACAGUCAGCAAGUGUUUCUGCUACCACAAUCUCCUGGCGUCCUCUAUAAAAGCAAGCUAUGUCAAGAAAUAUAUUCUUCUCCUCCUCCUCCAGCCCAUCAUAACUUAAUUUUAAUACAUUGAAAAUAUCAAGAUGUUGGCCCUUUUCCAACUUUUGCAACUGACUCUCCCAUGCUUCUCUUGUUCUGCCAUAAAGCAAUGACCCCAAAAUCUAGAGAGCUAAUGGAAUCCCUUUUGCAUAUCUCAACACCUUUUCUGACAGUUCCCUGUAAGCAAUUUCUUCUGAAGAUUUUUGUUUAAAAGCAAGUAAACUAAAAAGUUUCUGAGAAUCAUCAAAAUUCAACUCCUUAACUUCGUAGAUAUCAUCAGCUCUAGCAUUCUUAAGCACUUGUUUGUCUCUACUGGUGAUAAUCAUUCUACUGCCCUGCCCAAAACUAUCACUCCCUCCUAUUAAUUUUUUAAGUAGAGCUGAAUCGGUAACAUCAUCAAGAAUGAGGAGAGCCUUUGUCCGUUUCAGCCUUUCAUUGUAAUAUGAUAAACCAUGGGAUUUCUUUAUCUCUUCCUUUAGAAGCUCAGACAGAUAUUUUGUUCUGAUACUGUCUAUUCCAUCUUUUUGUAUUUUUUCUUGAACGUCUAAAACAAGGCUGCUGGAACCAAACUGCAAAGCCAAUGUGUGAUAUAUUUGAUAACAAAUUGUAGUUUUUCCUAUUCCUCCCAUGCCACAAAUUCCUAUGAUCCGAACAUGCGGUGACUCAAGAUGCAACAAGGACUGAAUUCCUUCAAUGUGUUUUUCAAUGCCGAUGAUUCCUUGAUCAUAACUGGUGGAAUAACGAUUCAAUUUUCUCAAAAUAUCUUCCACAAUUUCUUCAACAAGUGUGUGUUCUGGCCUGGCAGAUGAUUUAGAAAAUAAAGUAUAAGUAUUCAAGCACAAAAGCUAAACUAAACUAAAGAAAAAAUCAGAGUUAAGAGGAGUGAACAUCAUUGAAUAGAUUCACAUAUCGAUUCUAGUUUCGAGUUUUGGAUAAAAUAAAUAAAUUAAAAAGUUGAAGGUAAGUAUAGGACGUUAUCUUCGUAUAUUAGUUUGGUUGGUUUAGAAAUUGCAAAUCAAGAUGGCAAAAAUACUACAGUAACCGUUUGUGACUUCUGAUAAUAGGGAGCAGAUUUGUAGGUACAAAGUUAAGCUAUAACAUGUGAUAUGGUUCAGAUCCAUGACCGACUAAAAGAAAGACUUGAUUUAUGGUGAGAUGAACACAAUUUUAGUAAAUGAAAAGAAAUCCUGUUUAUCUCGAAAUUAUCUAAUAAAUAUAAUGACCUGGUGACUUUUGAAUCCCAGCCUGAAAGUCCAGCAGCUUCGGUGAGAGCAUCCUUCCAUCCUUGCGCUUUGACCAUGUCGUGCAUAAACCGCUGUUCAUGAUCAUCGAAUGAUUCUUUGUAUCUUUCUUCCUGCUUCCUAAUAGUUGAUGGAUCCACCUUGUAGAAAACAGGUAUCACAUCCCUUCCAAAUCUCUUCUUGCAUUCAAGUAUCUUACUGAGUUCAUUCAAGCACCAAGUGGAAGAUGCAUAGUUUUGGGAGAAAACGAUGACAUAAAUCUUUGAUUCUUCUAUUGCAGAGAGCAGUGCAGGUGAAAUUUCUUCGCCCCUGAGUAGUCUAUAAUCAAUAUAUGCUUCAAUGUUCUUCCUUUGCAGUGCUGCAUAAAGGUGGCUAAUGAAGUUGUCACGUGUGUCUUCGCCUCUGAAGCUGAGAAACACAUCAUGCCUUGUUAGAGAAGUAGACACGGCCAAUGAUGAAGGACUUUCUGACAUUGGAGUCAAUUUUCUCUCCUUUCUCUGCAAUUCUCAGGUCUCUUUCUUUGUACUGUUUCUACCACAAAUCUACUCUGCUGCUCUGGACUCAUUAUAAAACACAAGUCAACUUUUGAAAAAGUCUUUCAAUUUUCUUAACAUUCCUUUCACAGAUAUGUGUUCUGGUCAGACAUCGUAGUCAGCAGAAACUAAAGAAAAAGAAAAAUAUUAAUUUAAUAGAAUAGUCAACAAAUUGCAAAAUAAGUAUGGAAUCUAGAUUUAUAUCAUUAUCACGUGUGGAAACAUAGCUACGUCUUCUUAGAUAAAAUCCUUAUUUAAGUUUUAAUUGGGCCUUGUAGUGGGCUUUGUAAUCUGCUUUUCUUUUCUCCUAUAUUGCUUUAUAUAUACACCUCCACUUUUGCUUUCUACAUUUCAUUUUACAAAAUACAUUCUCUCAUUCUGUGUCAUUUAUCUUGCCUGAUUCCGUCCUCUCUUUAUCUUUUUCUCUCAUCCUCUUGCUUAUAAUUCUUUUGUUUUUAUUAAGAAAUACACUAUAAUUCUAAUUUAAUCAUAUACUAUAAUUAUGCUAAUCAUCAAUUAGUACUAUAUAUUAUUAAUGAUCUGCGUAUAUAUUAUUUAUGAUUUGCGGAUAAGACAAUAGAUUCAAUAAAUUCUAGAUAAAAUAAAUUUUAAAUGAAUAUGAUAAAAAUAUAUUAAAAAAUGAACUUUAUUGAAUCGAUUGAGUAUCUCUAUUUUAAAGACUUGUAAGAAUAAUAGGAAUAACAAUAUAUUAAUAUUAAUAUGUUUCUUAAUAAAUUUCAUACCCACUAUCUAUUUAUAAAUUAAUAUAUUAUAAAUAUCUAAUGAUGUCUUAUUUCUCUAACAUUUAAAAUUAAAUUUGUAGAUUCUACAAAACAUUACAUUUUGAUUUUAAUAUUUAUAAAAUAUUUUUUAUUCUCAUAUUUAAAAAACAAAACUUAGUUUGAGUGUAUUCCUUAGUUACUUACUACUCAUCACCAGCCGCCAACAGCGUGAUGGCUUCACUCUCCGUUCGCGCCACAACCACCUCUUAUCGGGCCUCCUUCCGGCCCAAGCCCACCUCGGGGCCCACCAGGGUCCGAAUGUCCCUCCGCGAUGACGGCCCCGCCAUCGCCGUCGUCGGCGUCACCGGCGCCGUUGGCGAGGAGUUCCUCUCCGACCGCGACUUCCCCUACCGUUCCAUCAAAAUGCUGGCCUCGCAGCUCUCCGCCGGCCGCCGCAUCAUCUUCGAGGACAGGGACUACGUCGUGGAGGAGCUCACAGCGGAUAGCUUCGACGGCGUCGACAUUGCGCUCUUUAGCGCCGGCGGUGGUAGACUAUAGCUCCGCAUUUGGGAUGGACGAGAAGGUGACGCUGGUUAUUCCCGAAGUGAAGCCCCAAACGAUGCAACACAUCAAAGUUGGAACGGGAAAAGGCGCUCUGAUUGCGAACCCUAAUUGCUCCACCAUUAUUUGCUUGAUGGACAUACUAAUUAAUAUCAAUUAUAACAAAUAAUGAACGUUUCUGGUCAUUUCUUGUACUUCGCGUUAUUUCAUAACAGUAGUUUUUUUAAAUAAAUUAAGAAAAAUAUUCAUUUUUAAAUUUAAUGCACUUUUAAAUAAUUUGACUAUUAUAAACAUAAUCACUUAUAAAAAUAAUUUUAGAGUAGUUGAUAUAAUUAAAAUAAAAUAUUUUAUUAUUAAAGUAAAAAUUAUAUAUAAAUAAAAAAUAGGUUUUAUUUUAAAAUAAUAUUCAAUUUUAUAAAAGUUUUUUCUUUUUGUCUUUUUUUUUUUAUAUUUCUAACCAUAUUUUUUCGUGAGGUUGAUAAUAGAAUCUCACUUUGGAUUUAUGGGAAUGAAUAAUGAAUUAGUUUUUAGUUUUCUAUUUAUCUAUAUAUAAAGGUGAUACGGUGACAAAUUCCAAAAUUUUAUUAUAAUGUUUGCUUUGUUGAUUGAAAUAGAUGUUAAUUGAUGAAAAAGAUUGAAAGUUUUAAACCCAAUACACCCCUCACGUCGAGGUUAGGUGGACUGAUAAGUUCAGCAAAAUCUCGUUAUGAUAGUUUUUAGAUGACUCUGAUACCACAAUAAAAAAUAAACUUUAAAUUUAACUCAACCUUACAAAACUAAUUUAUAAAGUGAGCUAUGUAUCCCUAGUCGAUGUAGAAUCUCUAACAAUGAUUUAAAUGAAUUGUUAUAUGCUUUAUGAAGUUUAACCUUUAUUUUUACUUGACAAAUUGGAUUUUAAUGAGGUAUAUAUGCUCUCAGCAUCAAAUCCGCUUAACGAAAUUUAUAUGUGUCAAGCGAAUUUGGACAUGUAGAGUUUGAUGUGCUCUUGGCCUCAAAUCCGCUCAAUGUUUUUUUUUCCUGUACUUAAGCAAACUUACAUCCAGAUUUUGGAGUACUUUCGAACUCAAAUUUGCUCAAAGAAAUUUUCUUAUGGUAAGCAAAUUUAAGCGGCUAUUGUUUGGAUGUUCUCUGCCUCAAAUUCGUUCAGUGAAAUUUUCCUGUGCUAAGGAGAUUUCUCUGGGCUUAAGCCCCAACUUCAUGGGCUCGACCCAUUUUGACGACAUUUGUCAUCUUUGCUUAGAUAUCUUUUGGUUUGUUUUCUAUAGGUCAUGAAAUUGAAUUAAAUCUUUUGAAAUUUAUCAUUUUGUAAAUUGUAAGUGAUUACAACUUUCUAAUGUUCAUGCAACAUGUGUUUAAAAUAAGUAAAUCUAACAAAUAAAUACUCGUUACAUAUUCAAUGGAAAGCUUUUUCUUUUAAUUCUUUGGUGUUUUAUUUUGAUGAUGUAUAUAUUUGAAAAUCAAUGUAUGAAUGGAUAAUGCUUUAUGAUAUAAUAAUAUUACAAUGUAAAUGUUAUUUAUAUACUAUCACAUGAUAAAUUAAAAUUUAAUAAGAUAGUUAAGGAUGUUAUAAUUAUUCUUUUAAUUUAUUUUAUUUCACUGUAUAUUUAGGUGUAUUACGUAGAAUGUAUAGUUAAAAAAAUAAUGUUAUUUUGAAAUUUAAAGAAUGACGUAUAGAAAUAAACAAGCUUUUGUUAAAAUUAUACUAUUUGAAAAGGAACACAGAACAAUAUUGACAAUUAUACUUUUACUUAUUACUUAUUUUAAUUUAUUAUAUUCAUGAGUAUUAUUUUUUUUAAACAUAGAUAUUGGAUAAAAAAUAUAAAUAACAUUUAUUUAUUUCAAAUUUAAAAAUCUUUAAAAUAAAAUUAAAUAAUAUUUUUAAUUAAGAUGUGUUUUUUAACAAUUUUUUUAAUUUAAAAAAUAAUUAAUUCGGAGGAUGAUUAAAGAAAUAUUAACAAAUUAUUUCUGCGUUUAUAAUAAACCUUCAAUAAUAUUUGUACUUUCUAGCAUAUAGAAUACUUAAUGGAUCCCUUUGUGAUUUUUCUUUUCUAAAGUGCAAUUGAUAUUUUAAAUGUUUUUCUAUUUAAUUUUCCUUUCUUAAUGACACAUUAAAGGGUUCAGUGCACGAUUAAUUAUUCUCACCUUAGAUUUCAUUCAUCUCAUUCCAUUUCCACACUCAAAUCAUUCUCACAUUUUUUUCUACCUAUUUCACAAAGUUUUAUGUAAAAUAUGGAAAUUAAACUAAAAGAACCCUACUUAUAUAUUAAUAUUCAACAACUUAAAAUAUUACUAUGCAAAUUAAUCUUUCUUAAUAAUGUUAUGUAAAAAUUAAAAUGUAGUUUAGUCAUUCAUACUUAGAUGGAUAAAGAUGGUUUUAGAAAAAAAAUGCAUUUUAUUUCAAAUCUAUUACUUAUAAAAUGAGUUAUAAAAUGAGGUUUGUGAUAUUUAUUCAAAAUUUAAAUUAUAUUAUGCAUUUAUGGUUUUAUGUUUUUAAAGAAAUCAGAAACUUAGAAAAGCUCCUAAAAACUACUGAAAUCCAUAAGAUGAUAAUUAAUAAACAUCCUCUCUUAAUAACAUAACAUAUAAGAUAGGAGUCUUUACACUUAUAUUCUUCAAACAAUUAUAAGCUGUCUUCAACUUUACUGUUAAACUACAAUUAUAAAGAAUUAACAAUCUCACACACCAACAACAUUUAUAAGCCAUCACUCACAUGAAACAAGGUGCCUCAAUGUGAAAAAACCAAGAUCAAUAAGAAAUGAGGUUCCACUUAACCAAGCUGAGAAUUUUCUGGUUUUCCAACUCCAUGCACAAACCUAAUACAAUGAUAUGAUAUUCAAUCAGCAUUAAUUGGCAUAAACAGGUACAUUGUUGUAAAACUGGGAUUAUAAGGUUCCAUAGGAUGGAGAAAAGUAAGAAGAGGAUUUACCAAUUACCCUUUCAAAUGGAGCUCCUCAGGAUUUCAUAAUGCCUUCACUGCAAAUGCAACCCAAAUAUGCUAAAAAAGUUAAUGAAACUAUAUAUGAAGAGUUUCAAGAAAAUGCAACUCUGGGACAACAGAGAAACCCAUCUCAUGCUGAACAGAAACAUCAAACUAUAUCUAACAAUAACUUAGAAAUCUUUGUCAACAAUUGAACGAACCCACUCCUAAAAUGCCAUUGAAAAUGUAAAUAAAACAAAAUAAAUUAAAAACGAGAAAUUCAUAAUAAAAAUUCAACGUGUUGAAACUUAUGAUAACUCAGUUUAGAUCCUGACCAAUGAAAGACUAAUUAGCAGAAGAGGAAGAGACUAGUUGACAGGGUAGCUUUCGGCCUUUCUCUUCCUAUCUUUCCUUGUUUCUCUUGAAGACUGUGCAACAUUGCUUCCACUGGAUUCUUCAAUGUCAACAUCACCACCAUAUUUAUCAUCUUUCUUUUUGGUAUAAAGGGGGCAUAUGCCGCAUUCUUUUAUUGUGAUGUCUGAUGCCAUCACUCUCACACCUGAUUUGUAACUAUACAGACUGAUCUCAAAAGUGAAGCUGCGAGCAUCACAGACCCUAAGGCUCUUGCGGCUCGCCGUUAGGGACUCCAUGUUAAAUUUCCACACGAAUGUGUGAUCUUCAUCAACACAUCUGUGUUCACCAUUCCAUUUGAAAUAGCUGUUUAACACAUCAUUAUUUAGAAUGAUCUGUGUGCCAUCAUCAUCAUCAGAUUCAAAUUUUAGACUGUAACCAAAAGAACCAUAUCUACAUUUAACAGCUUUCGUAUCUAACACUCCAAAAACCACACACAAAGCGAAACCAGUGAGCCUAUCAUCGCUGCAGAAACUUAAAUCUUCAUUUAUAGUCACUGAAUGUCCCUUCCCACGAGAAUGGAACCAACGAGGAACUGCAUUCCCUGGAAAACAGAAGAACACAGACCUAUAUGCAUCGUCGGUCAUCCUAACCCAUGCAUCCUCCUCAAUGUUAGCACGAGCACCUGAAUCCAGUUGCUGAGCAUUGGUGAAAUGAAAUUUGAAGACACCCUCUUUGGAGUUUGAGAAGUUUGGAACAAGAGAAUUUGACAUCACUCUUCUGAUGGAUGGGCAAUCCAAUGCCACGAGUUGUUUUAGAAAUGGUGGAAUCUGUGGGAUGGAUUCAAGUUUUUUGCAGUCGCUUAAAUCGAGCGAGUUCAAGCUUGAAAGAUGAGCAAUGCUCUCAGGAAGGUUCACGAUUCCGCUAUCACGCAGUGACAGUUCCAUUAAUGACGUCAAGCGACCGAUGUGGCUUGGGAUUUCUGUUAAUUUGGCACACCCCGAACAAUCAAGUUUAGAGAGAAGCUUCAGAUUAACAAUGGAGUUUGGAAGUGACUCGAGAUGAAUGCACUCUUGGAGUUCCAGGGAUCGAAGAUUAACGAAAUUGCCAAAUGAGGAAGGCAGUUCUUUAACAGCCGUAGAUGUUAAGUUAAUGUGAGCAAAAGUAUGAGCCGGCUCCGCGAUCUCUGGGAAGGUCCUCAGCCUUGAGCAACCACGCAAAUCAAGGUUCCUCAACUUCAAAUUGAAAAUGGUGCUUGGAAAAGUUUGAAGUGAAUUACAGUGGGUAAGGUCUAACUUGCAUAGUCUGGUGAGGGUUCCAAUGGAAGAUGGAAUAAUCUCAAGAUUCAAGCAACUGCGCAAACUCAGUCCUUGAAGCCCUACCAAACGGCACAAGGAUGAAGGUAGUGCCUGUAUGGCUGUGCCGUCUAAGAUGAGCACCACUAGAUCUUCCAACGUGUCCUGAAUCUCGGGUAAAUUUUCCAAUUUUGAGCAACCACUGAGAGAAAGUUUCUUUAUGAAUUUCAUAUCAGAAAGGUGAAAUGGAAAGAUUGUAAGGGAAGAACAGUGAGAGAGAUCUAAGUAACAGAGCUUCUUGCGAUUAAAGUUGAAGUGACAGAGCUUCAUGAGUUUUGUGAACACUUUAAAACAUAUAGUAUCAUUAGCCACUUCUUCUUCCUUAUAUCUGUCAAAAGUAAUUGAGAAAAUUUCACUGGAAGUUGGGAAAAAAGGACCACGGUGUCGACGUUUACCACGCCGUCCUGAGAAAUUCGUCAUAUCCGGUUCCUGACGAGGGAAUAUUGAGAAAGUUUGAAGUUGACGCUCCAGUAUCACAUGAGGGAAUCUGGGUUUACUGAUCGAAAACAUAUUAAGCUUCGGACAACGGGAAAGAGUAAUCCAUCCUGGUGAUGUGGAUAAAAUGUUGCUGGGAAUAUUUACACUAUUCAGAUCAUUACAAUCAUCUAAACAUAAACAACUGAGCUUGUUGAGGAAUAUCCAAGAGUGAACUUCAAUCAACUUUUCACAACUUUUCAGAAUUAUUUCUUCAAUAUUUGGUGACAUAGAAAGGUCUGGUAUUCUAGUAAGUUUCCGAGAAUAACUCAGGUCGAGCCUUUUCAAGUUGGGUAAAUUCUGCCACAAAUAGGAAAUGAAUGAGGUAACAAAUAAAAACUACUUUAUCUAUUUUUCUUCGGUAAAAUAUUAGCUACAUCAUCUAAUCUAUUCACUUUAUAUUUUACAUUACUUCAAAACCACUGUUAAAAAAAAUCACACUGUCAACUAACAAAACUGUGGCUAUAAAUUUAAUAGUUAUUAUAAAAAACCACAAAAUUUAACGUGUUUUUGUUCCCUACCUCAAAUUACAUCCUAAUAAUUUGAACCUAAACUUAUUAUGUAUUUAAAAACUGAUGAUAGUAAUUUAUAAUCGAUGACAGUGUGGAAAUACUUUAUAUCAUGCAUGUAUCAACUGACAAAAUAAAAUGGUGUUGUCUGAUGAUAGUAAUUUAUAAUCGAUGACCAUCUUUCCAUAAUUUAUUUUAUUAAAUACAUAAUUUGUUGUAUAUUAUAUUGAAGUUUAUGUUAUAAUAAUAAAAAAAUACUUAAUUAGGUUUUGAGUAUCCAGUAAGACAUUUUUAAUUAAUUUUUUUAUUAAAUUUUUUAAUUAUUUAAGUACUCAAAUUUUUUAUAUUUCCAAUAGAAUAUAUGUCAUUUUUAAUUUUUGAGUUAAUUGGGUGAUACAGAAAUUAUCUUGUCACAUGAUCUUACUUACUUGUCUUUAUGUAUUAAGGAAUAUGAAGUUUUAUGAUUGGCCAUUAGACUAUAUACCUAAAAAGAGGAUGCAAACUCUUCUACAUGCUACUAAAUUUAUAACUAUCUUUAAUUAGAAACAUGCUGAGUAUGAUUCUUAUGAUAUAUGUAUAACUGUGUGGUUCAAAUAAAAGAAAUUUCAAAUCGAAUAAUGUGGAGAAGCACAAAGGAAUUGCAAAUGAAAACCAGUAGAUGUAUAAUACAGAAAACAUGCUUGUAUAACUUAUUUUUGUCUUUGAAAGUUUAGAACACAAAGAAACAUAGAUAGCUUGAAAAACCUGAUCUCCUUCCCAGAGUUGUUCAAGAUGGCAGUAUGGCAUUUCGAGGGUCACUAGAUUUUGCGGGCAAAAGUUUGGAGGCAAAGAUCUUUGAGGGAAAUGUUUCCAAUAAAGAAUCUUUAGAGUGUCUGGCAGACCUACAAUAGAUGAUUCAAGAGACACAUUUGACGUGUAUUUUGGCGUGUUGAGCAUAAGCAUCCUAAGAUUGUCCAUCUUUUCGAAACUUUGUGCAUGUACUACAACUUCAUUUACUUUGCUCGUAUCUAGUGAUAUACACUGUAUUGCAUCUAACCCCUGAAAGUAAAUCAAUGUAAUUAGAAAAAAAAAGCAUGAAAUGUUGCUGUAUGGUUAUGGGCAGAUUGAUGAGAUAUGGUAACCUUCGGAUACUGAUCAUGAAGUGACAUAAAGGAGAAGGAAGCGUUACUGAAGGAGAGUAAUGGAAAUUUAUGAGAAAUUAAGCCGUUGGUUACAGAGACUAGGUAGGGACCGAGUCAUCUAUACCAGGGACCGAGUCAUCUAUAAGAGGAGGCAGAGACGAAGAGUAGGGGUAGGAAAAAAAGAUAUGGUUUUUAUAUUAUCUUUGAUGCUCUAGCUAAGGAUCAUCUGUCCUAAAACAGUUGCAUUUCUGGAUGUUUAAUGACAGCUCAAUAGUUUGCAGUUUUUUCACAAAGUAACAACAGAAUAUACCUUGUUUUUUCUUAAAACAUCACAAAUUUCCUCAGCAUUAAACAGUCGGCUGCGUUUUCCAGGAUGCCGACGACACUCUUUACGAACAAUUUCUUGACCCAUUUCUUGUAUUAGAUCGUGCAUCAUAAUAAUACCAUUAAAGACAGAUAUUAGGCACCUAUCUUUGAGAACAUCCAUUACAAUCUUAGUAGAGAAACCAUUGCAGUCAUCAAGUAUUUCUGCCAGCACAAUCUCCUGGUAUCCUCUAUAAAAGCAAGCAAUGUCAAGAAAUAUAUUCUUCUCCACCUCCUCGAGCCCAUCAUAACUUAAUUUUAAUACAUUGAAAAUACCAUGAUGUUGGCCCUUUUUCAACUUUUGCAACUGACUUUCCCAUGCUUCUUUUGUUCUGUCACAAAGCAAUGAGCCCAAAAUCUGGAGAGCUAACGGAAUCCCUUUUGCAUAACUCAACACCUUUCCUGACAGUUCCUUGUAAGCAAUUUCUUCUGAAGAUUUUUGUUUAAAAGCAUGUAAACUAAAAAGUCUUAGAGAAUCAUCAGAAUUCAACUCCUUAACUUCGUAGAUAUCAUCAGCUCUAGCAUUCUUAAGCACUUGUCUGUCUCUACUGGUCAUAAUGAUUCUACUGCCCUGCCUAAAACUAUCACUCCAUCCUAUUAAUUUUUGAAGUUGAGCUGAAUCGGUAACAUCAUCAAGAAUGAGGAGAGCCUUUGUCCGUUUGAGCCUUUCUUUGUAAUAUGGUAAAGAAGAAGAUUUCUCUUCCUUUAGAAGCUCAGACAGAUAUUUUGUUCUGAUACUAUCUAUUCCAUCUCUUUGUAUUUUUUCUUGAACGUCUAAAACAAGGCUGCUGGAAUCAAACUGCAAUGCCAAUUUCUGAUAUAUUUGAUCACAAAUUGUACUUUUUCCUAUUCCUCCCAUGCCCCAAAUUCCUAUGAUCCGAACAUCCGGUGACUCAGGAUGCAACAAGGACUGAAUUCCUUCAAUAUGUUUUUGAAUGCCGAUGAUUCCUUGAUCAUAACUGGUGGAAUAAAGAUUCAAUUUUCCCAAAAUAUCUUCCACAAUUUUUUCAACAAGUUUGUGGUCAUUCCUGGCAGAUGAUUUAGAAAAUAAAGUAUAAGAAUUCAAGCACAAAAGCUAAACUAAACUAAAGAAAAAUUCAGAGUCAAGAGGAGUGAACAUCAUUGAAUAGAUUCACAUAUCGAUUCUAGUUUCGAGUUCUGGAUAAAAUAAAUAAAUUAAAAAGUUGAAGGUAAGUUUAGGACGUUAUCUUCCUAUAUUAGUUUGGUUGGUUUAGUAAUUGCAAAUCAAGAUCGCAGAAAUUCUACAGUAACCGUAUGUGACUUCUGAUAAUAGGGAGCAGAUUUGUAGGUACAAAGUUAAGCUAUAACAUGUGAUAUGGUUCAGAUCCAUGACCGACUAAGAGAAAUGAAAAAAGAAACACUUGAUUUAUGGUGAGAUGAACACAAUUUUAGUAAAUGAAAAGAGAUCCUGAUUAUCUAAUAAAUAUAAUGACCUGGUGACUUUUGAAUCCCAGCCUGCAAGUUCAGCAGCUUCGGUUAGAGCAUCCUUCCAUCCUUGCACUCUGUCCAUGUCGUGCUUAAGCCGCUGUUCAUGCUCAUCAAAUGCUUCUUUGAAUCUUUGUUCCUGCUUCCUAAUAGUUGAUGGAUCCACCUUGUAGAAAACAGGUAUCACAUCCCUUCCAUAUCUCUUCUUGCAUUCAAGUAUCUUAGUGAGUUCAUUCAAGCACCAAGUGGAAGAUGCAUAGUUUUGGGAGAAAACGAUGACAUAAAUCUUUGAUUCUUCUAUUGCAGAGAGUAGUGCAGGUGAAAUUUCUUCGCCCCGGGGUAGUCUCUCGUCAAUAUAUGCUUGAAUGUUCUUCCUUUGCAGUGCUGCAUGAAGGUGACGAAUGAAGUUGUCACGUGUGUCUUCCCCUCUGAAGCUGAGAAACACAUCAUGCUUUGUUAGAGAAGCAGACACGGGGAAUGAUGAAGGACUUCCUGACAUUGGAAUCAAUUUUCUCUCUUUUCUCUUGCAACUCUCAGUGCCUUUGUUUGUACACAAAUCAACUCUUGGAAAAGUCUUUGAAUUUUCUCAAAAGUAUCUUUCACAGAUCACGCACGCGUGGAAACAUAGCUGUGUUAAAAUCCUUAUUUAAGUUUUAAUUGGGCCUUGUAGUGGGCUUUGUAAUGUGCUUUUCUUUUCUCCUACAUUGCUUUAUAUAUACACCUCAGCGUUUGCUUUCUACAUUUCAUUUUACAAAAUACAUUCUCUCAUUUUCUACCUUUUAUAUUGUCUGAUUCCGUUCUCUCUUUAUUUUUUUUCAAAUCUCUUUUGCUUACAAUUUUUUUUUCUUUUUUAAGAAAUGUACUUUUUCAAGUUUAAUUUAAUUUUAUAAAACAGUCAUCUUUCUACAGUAUUAUCAUCUCUUACGUGAGAUUAUUAUAUAUUAUUUGGUGAUCUAAGUAAACUUUUAAUCCAAUAAACUUUAAAAAUAAUUCUAAUACUAUAUUAAAAAAUGAAAUUUAAAUCUAAUUCUAUUUUAUAAAAUAUAUUUAUUCAAUGCUAAAAUAUCUCUAAUUGAGUAGGGAUGUUCAAAAUACUUAUUGGUUCUUGAUUUUCACUUUCACUUUUAAGGUUUUUCUUCGCAGACACGUAGUAAACAGAAAUACAAAAAUAUGAGUCAAUGGAAGAGUCUAACGAUUCGCAGAAUAUUAUGGUGUCUAGCUUUAUACCGCAUUAAUGCGAGGAGUUUCUUUAAUAUUUUUACUCAAUUUAUUUAUUUUUAAUUCUUUUUUUUUUCACACCUUUUACAAAUAAAGAAUCGUAUUUCUUUAAUAUAUUUUAGAAAAUAACCACUAAACCUUAUUAUAAAAUAUAUUUAUGAAAUGCACGUGUAAGAAUAACAGGAAAAAUAUUACUACGAAAAACAAUAUAUUAAUAUUAAUAUGUUUCUUAAUAAAUUUCAUACCCACUGUCUAUUUAUAAAUUAAUAUAAUAUAAAUAUCUUUAAUGAUGUUUUUGUGGGUAGCUUAUUUCUCUAACGCAGAAUAUUAUGGUGUCUACUUUUAUAAAACAUUACAUUUUGAUUUUAAUAUUUAUUAAAUAUUUUUUAUUUGGGAUGAAGUAACGAUGAUGAAUCGAAUGUGUUUUGAAGUCUGACAUAACUUUUAGAGAUGUUAUGAGAACGGUUAAUGACGGAAAUUAUCAAAAACCUUUUGGGGGAAGGUUGUGGUUUUGGGAGGUGAUUUCAGGUAAAUAUUGUUAGUGGUAAAAAAAGGAUUAAGAUAUGAUGUUGUGAAGUCAACAAUCAACUUUUCUCAUUUGUGGUUAAAUUGUCGAGUCUUAAAACUUUCUCAAGGAAAUCCAACACGAUCUAUUGAUUGAGCCCACAAAAACACCUUUGUUAUCAUUGGUGAAUUUUGUUUAUCCUAAUUUAUUGACUGAUAUGUUAUGUCCUGAGUACUUUGAGUAUGGAGCAAUACUUUGUCCGACAACUGAAUCAGUAGAGCAAGUGAAUGAUUUUAUUUUAUCUCUGUUAAGUGGUAAAUAAAUAAAUUAUCUUAGUUCGGAUACACCUUGCCAAUUAGAUUAAGAUCAAGAAUUUAAAGUGAAUGGUUCACUUCUGAGUUCUUAAAUGAGAUAAAAUGUUCAGAGAUACUAAAUCAUCGCCUUCAUUUGAAAAUUGGCGUGCCUAUUAUGCUUUUGAGAAAUAUUGAUCAAACCAACGGUCUUUGUAAUGGAACAAGGUUGCAAGUUAUUGAUUUGAAGAAAAUGUUAUUUGUGCAAUAGUUCUAACAGGAACAAAUAUUGGUGAUAAAAUCUUUAUUUCAAUAAUGAAUUUGAUCCCUUUAGAUGUAGGUAUGCCAUUCAAAUUCUAGAGAAGACAAUUUCCAAUAACUUUAUGUUUUGCAAUGACAAUUAAGAAAAGUCAAAGUCAAUUAUUGACCAAAGUUGGUUUAUAUUUUUCACGUCCAAUUUUCACACAUUGAUAGUUGGAUGUAGCUAUUUAUAGAGUUAGAAAGAAAAAAAUUUAAAAAUUCUAACUCUUGAUGAAGAUGGGAAUGCAACAAACAAGAAAAAGAAAAUGUUUACACUGAAACUUUUGACAAUAUUUAAAAACAAUAGAAUUAUAUGAUAAACUUGGAAUAAUGGCUAAUUCUCCCUGCACCCAAUAUUUUUGAACAUGCAACUUUUAAAUUUGCUCCCUUGUAAUUAUAUUUUCUUAUGUGUGAUGUAGUAACAGUUGCCUUAUUUAAAAUGUUACUAAAUAACAUAUCAUUUAUAUCUGUUAUUUUUAUUCUGUUCUGAUUUUAUAUAUAUGUUAACGAAGUUGAGAAUUUUCUGAUUUUACAGGUCCAUGCACAAACCUAAUAUAAUGAUAUGAUAUUCAAUAUCAAGAGGUACUUGUCGUAAAACGGGGAAUAUGAGAGACUCCAUAGAAUGAAGAAAAAGUAUAAAGAGGAUUUACAAAUUACCCUUUCAAAUGCAGCUCCUCAGAAUUUCUUAAUGCCUUCACUGCAAAUGCAACCCAAAUAAGCUAAAGAAGUUAAUCAAACUAUACAUUAAGAGUUUCAAGAAAAUGAAACUCUGGAACAACAGAGCAACCCAUCUCAUGCUCAAUAGAAACAUCAAACUAUAUCUAACAAUAACUUAGAAAUCUUUGUCAACAAUUGAACGAACCCACUCCUAAAAUGCCAUUGAAAAUGUAAAUAAAUAAAUAAAAAUUAAAAAUGAGAAUUCAUAAUAAAAUUUCAUCGUGUUGAAACUUGUAAUUUAGAAGUAUUACGAUAAGCCAGUUUUGAUCCUCGCGAAUGAAAGACUAAUUAGCAGAAAGACUGUGCAAAAUUCCUUCCACUGGAUUCUUCGAUGUCAACUGAUUUGGUAUAAAGAGGACAUAUGCCGCAUUCUUUUAUUGUGAUAACUGAUUUCAACUCUCUCACAAGUAAUUUGCGAUUUGACCGAUUUGGCCGCAGAAAGGGAUCAUCAUAAUCAUGCGAACUGAUCUCAAAAGUGAAGCUGCGAGCAUCACACAGCCUAAGGCUCAUGCCGCUUGCCCUUAGGGACUCCAAGUUAAAUUUCCACACCAAUGUGUGAUCUUUAUCAACACCUCUCUCUUCAUCAUCCCAUCUGAAAUAGUUGUUUAACACAUCAUUAUUUGGAAUUAUCCGUGUGCCAUGAUCAUCAGAUUCAAAUUUUAGGCUGUAACCAAAGGAACCAUAUCUACCUUUAACAACUUUCGUAUCUAACACUUCAAAAACCACACACAAAGCGAAACCACUGAGCCUAUCAUCGCUUAAAAAACUUAAAUCUUCAUUUAUAGUCACUGAAUGUCCCUUCCCACGAAAAUGGAACCAACCAGGAACUGCACUCCCUGGAAAACAGAAGAACACACACCUAUAUCUAUCGUCGGUCAUCCUAAGCCUUGCAUCCUCCUCAAUGUUAGCACGACCACCUGAAUCCAGUUGUUGAGCAUUGGUCAAAAGAAAUUUGAAGAAACCCUCUUUGGAAUUUGACAAGUUUGGAACAAGAGAAUUGGACAUCACUCUUCUAAUGGAUGGGCAAUCCAAUGCCACUAGUUUUUUUAGAAAUGGUGGAAUCUCUGGGAUGCAUUCAAGCUUUUUGCAGUCGCUUAAAUCAAGCGAUUUCAAGCUUGAAAGAUGAGCAACGCUCUCAGGAAGGUUCACAAUUCCGCUAUCACACAGUGACAGUUCCAUUAAUGACGUCAAGCGACCGAUAUCUCUAGGGAUUUCUGUUAAUCUGGCACACCCCGAACAAUCAAGUUUAGAGAGAAGCUUGAGAUUAACAAUGGAGUUUGGAAGUGACUCCAGAUCAGUGCAUUUGCGGAGCUCCAGGGAUCGAAGAUUAACCAAAUUGGCAAAUGAGGAAGGCAGUUCUUUAACAGCCGUACAUAUCAAGUUAAUGUGAUCAAAAGUAGGAGCCGGCUCUGUGAUCUCUGGGAAGGUCCUCAGACUUGAGCAACCACACAAAUCAAGGUUCCUCAACUUCAAAUUGAAAAUGGUGCUUGGAAAAGUUUGUAGUGAACUACAGUGGGUAAGGUCUAACUUGCAUAGUCUGGUGAGGCUUCCAAUGGAAGAUGGAAUAAUCUCAAGAUUGAAGCAACUGCACAAACUCAGUUGUUGAAGCCCUACCAAACGGCACAAGGAUGAAGGUAGUGCCUGUAUGGCUGUGUCGUCUAAGAUGAGCACCACUAGAUCUUCCAACGUGUCCUGAAUCUGGGGUAAAUUUUCCAAUUUUGAGCAACCACGGAGUGAAAGUUGCUUUAGGAACUUCAUAUCAGAAAGGUCAAAUGGAAAGAUUGUAAGGGAAGAACAGUGAGAGAGAUCUAAGUGACAGAGCCUCUUGAGAUUUUGAAAGUUUGAGGGUACACCUUCGAGUAUUGUCGACACUUCACAUUGUGAGUAUAUAGUAUUAUUACCCACUUCUUCUUCGUUAUAUCUGUCAAAACUAAUUGAGGAAAUUUCACUGGAAGUUGGGAAAAUACCUUUAGCAUUAUGGAAUUUAACAGUCCCUCCCAAAAGUAAACUUGAGAAAGUUGGACGUUGACCCUCCAGUUUCACAUGAAGGUAUCUGGGUUGACUGGUUGAAAACAUUUCAAGCUCCUCACAGUGAGAAAGAAUGAUCAAUCCUGGAGAUGUGGAUAAAAUCUUGUUGGGAAUAUUUACACUUUUGAGAUGAUAACAAUGAUCUAAACAUAAACAACUGAGCUUGCUGAGGAAUAUCGAAGAGUGAACUUUAAUCAACUUUUGACAAUAACUCAGAAUUAGUUCUUCAAUAUUCGGUGACAGAGAAAGGUCUGGUAUUCUAGUAAGUUUCAGAGAAUGACUCAGGUUGAGCCUUUUCAAGUUGGGUAAAUUCUGCCACAAAAAGUAAAUGAAUCAGGUAACAAUGAAAAACUAAAAUAAAGUUUUAUGCAAUUUUAUCUAUUUUUCUUCGGUAAACUAUGAGCUACAUCAUCUAUCGAGUUUAUAUUUUACAUAAAACCACUGUUAAAAAAAUCACACUGUUAACUAACAAAAUUAUGGUCACUAUAAAUUUUAUAGUUAUUAUAAAAAUUCACAAAAUUUAACGUGUUUUUGUUCUCUACCUAAAAUUACAUCCUAAUAAUUUGAACCUAAGCUUAUUAUGUAUUGAAAAACUUACUAUAGUAAUUUAUAAUCCAUGACAAUGUCGAAAUACUUUAUACUAUGCAUGUUAAAAUUUGAUAAAAUGUCGAAAUACUGACAAAAUAAAAAUGGUGUUUUCCGAGAGUUAAAAUUAAACUUUAGUUAAAAUAAGUCCAUCUUUACAUAUUUUAUAAUUUGUUGUAUAUUAUAUUGAAGUUGAUGUUAUAAUAAAAAAAUGACUUAAUUAAUCGAAAAAUGUGGAGAAAACACAAAGAAAUUGCAAAUGCUUGUAUAAUUUAUUUUUAUCUUUGAAAGUUUAAAAGACAAAGGAACAUAGAUAACUUGAAAAACCUGAUCUCCUUCCCAGAGUUGUUCAAGACGGCAGCCUGGCAUUUCGAGGAUCACUAGAUUUUGUGGGCAAAAGUUUGGAGGCCAAAAUCUUUGCGGGAAAUCUCUCCAAUAAAGAAACUUUAGAGUGUCUGGCAGACCUACGAGAGAUGAUUCAAGAGACACAUUUGAUAUGUAUUCAGUUGAGUAGAGUAAAAACGUCCAAAGAUCAUCCAACUCUUUACGAGACACAUCUGAUAUGUAUUUAGUUUUAUUUUGCUCGUAUCUAGUAAUAUACACUGUAUUGCAUCUGACCCCUGAAAGUAAAUCAAUGUAAUUAGAAGAAAAAAACAUGAAAUGUUGCAUUGCAGGAUGUUUGAUGACAGCUCAGUGGUUUGCAAUUUUUCACAAAGUAAAUUAAUGACAGGUCAGUAGUUAUAUACCUUAUUCUUUCUUAAAACCUCACAAAUUUCCUCAGCAUUAAACAAUCGGCUGCGUUUUCCAGGAUGCUGAGGACACUCUUUACGAACAAUUUCUUUACCCAUUUCUUCUAUUAGAUCGUGCAUCACAAUUCUACCAUCAAUGACAGAUAUUAGGCCCCUAUCUUUCAGAAUAUCCAUUCCAAUCUUAGAAGAGAAACCAAAGUCAUCAAGUCUUUCUGCUACCUCAAUCUCCUCGUGACCUCUAUAAAAGCAAGCUAUGUCAAGAAAUAUAUUCUUCUCCUCCUCCUCCAGCCCAUCAUAACUUAAUUUUAAUACAUUGAAAAUACCAAGAUGUUGGCCCUUUUUCAACUUUUGCAACUCACUCUCCCAUGCUUCUCUUGUUCUGCCAUAAAGCAAUGACCCCAAAAUCUGGAGAGCUAACGGAAUCCCUUUUGCAUAUCUCAACACCUUUUCUGACAGGUCCAUGUAAGAUUUUUCUGCUGAAGAUUUUUGUUUAAAAGCAUGUAAACUAAAAAGUUUAUGAGAAUCAUCAAAAUUCAACUCCUUAACCUCGUAGAUAUCAUCAGCUCCAGCAUUUCUAAGCACUUGUCUGUCUCUACUGGUCAUAAUGAUUCUACUGCCCUGCCCAAAACUACCACUCCCUCCUAUUAAUUUUUUAAGUAUAGCUGAAUCGGUAACAUCAUCAAGAAUGAGGAUAGCCUUUGUCCGUUUGAGCCUUUCAUUGUAAUAUGAUAAAUCAGGGGAUUUCUUUAUCUCUUCCUUUAGAAGCACAGACAGAUAUUUUCUUCUGAUACUGUCUAUUCCAUCUCUUUGUAUUUUUUCUUGAACGUCUAAAACAAGGCUGCUGGAAUCAAACUGCACUGCCAAUUUCUGAUAUAUUUGAUUACAAAUUGUAGUUUUUCCUAUUCCUCCCAUGCCACAAAUUCCUAUGAUCCGAACAUCCGUUGACUCAAGAUGCAACAAGGACUGAAUUCCUUCAAUAUUUUUUUCAAUGCCGAUGAUUCCUUGAUCAUAACUGGUGGAAUAACGAUUCAAUUUUCUCAAAAUAUCUUCCACAAUUUCUUCAACAAGUGCGUGUUCUGGCCUGGCAGAUGAUUUAGAAAAUAAAGUAUAAGUAUUCAAGCACAAAAGCUAAAGUAAACUAAAGAAAAAUUUUACAGUAACCGUUUGUGACUUCUGAUACUAGGGAGCAGACUUGUAGGUACAAAGUUAAACUAUAAGAUCAGAUAUGGUUCAGAUCCAUGACCGACUAAGAGAAAUGAAAAAAGAAACACUUGAUUUAUGGUGAGAUGAACACAAUUUUAGUAAAUGAAAAGAGAUCCUGAUUAUCUAACAAAUAUAAUGACCUGGUGACUUUUGAAUCCCAGCCUGCAAGUUUAGCAGCUUCAGUUAGAGCAUCCUUCCAUCCUUGCACUUUAUCGUGCUUAAGGUGCUGCUCAUGCUUUUCGAAUGCUUCAUUGUAUCUUUGUUCCUGCUUCCUAAUAGUUGAUGGAUCCACCUUGUAGAAAACAGGUAUGACAUCCCUUCCAAAUCUCUUCUUGCAUUCAAGUAUCUUAGUGAGUUCAUUCAAGCACCAAGUGGAAGAUGCAUAGUCUUGGGAGAAAACGAUGACAUAAAUCUUUGAUUCUUCUAUUGCAGAGAGGAGAGCAGGUGAAAUUUCUUCGCCCCUGUUUAAUCUGUAAUCAAUAUACGCUUCAAUGUUCUUCCUCUGCAGCGCUGCAUAAAGGUGACUAAUGAAGUUGUCACGUGUGUCUUCCCCUCUGAAGCUGAGAAACACAUCAUGCUUUGUUAGAGAAGUAGACACGGGGAAUGAUGAAGAACUUCCUGACAUUGGAAUCAAUUUUCUCUCCUUUCUCUGCAAAUCUCAGAUUCCUUUGUUUGUACCAUUUCUACCUGAAGAAGUGUUUAAAUUUUCUCAAAAUACCUUGCACAGCGUGUUCUGGUCAGACAUAAAGAAAAAGACAAAUAUUAAGUUAAUAGAAUAGUCAACAAUUUAAAAAAUAAGUAUGAAAUAUAGAUAUAUAUCAUUAUCACGUGUGGAAGCUACGUCGUCUUGUAUUGGAUUUUCUAAUCUGCCUUUUAUCUUGUCUCAUUCUUCUUUAUCUUUUUUCUCUCAUCUCUCUUGCUUACGAUUUCUUUGCCUUUAUUCAGAAAUUUUAUUUAUAAUAAACCUUCAAUAAUAUUUGUACUUUCUAGCAUAUAGAAUACUUAAUGGAUCCUUUUCUGAUUUUUCUUUUCUAAAGUGCAAUUGAUAUUUUAAAUGUUUUUCUAUUUAAUUUUCCUUUCUUAAUGACACAUAAAAUGGUUCAGUGCACAAUUAAUUACUCUCACCUUAGAUUUCAUUCAUCUCAUUCCAUUUCCACACUCAAAUCAUUCUCACAUUUGUUUCUACCUGUUUCACAAAGUUUUAGUUAAAAUAUGGAAAUUAAUGUUCAAGAACCCUACUUAAUAUUAAUAUUCAACAAUUUAAAAUAUUAAAAUGCAAAUUAAUCUUUCUUAAUAAUGUCAUUUUUAUGUAAAAAAUAAAAUGUAGUUUAGUCAUUUAUACUUAGAUGGAUAAAGAUGGUUUUAGAAAAAAAAAUGCAUUUUAUUUCAAAGGUUAUCUAAGCUCUGAACUCAUUUAUGAAUUAAUAAUAAUAAAUAAUAUGUAAUUGUAUUCCAAUACCAUAUAAUUUUUUUUAUUGGGUGCGUUUCUGAUGAAUUAAUUAAUGCACUCUAGGGACAAUGAUCGCUCUAGUAUUUGAUUUUUUUAUUUAUUUUAAUGUUGAAAUUAUAGCUAUUUAGUACAGAUACUAUUGACACCGACACAGAUACGACACAGACACAGAGAUACUUAAAAUCUCUAAAAUGUAAGAUACAGAGACAUUAAUCUAUAUAUUAUAUAAUUAUGAAUUAUAUAAAUUAACAAUAAAGACUUAUGUGCACAAGUAUUUUGGAGAUUAUUUUUUAAGCAGAAAUAUGUUUUUCAUGACUGUUUCACAAAGAUUUGUUUCUUAUUUUUAUAAUCAUAAUAACAAUUUAUACCAUAAAGUUUGAAUUUUAGAAAAUUAAUGUAUUUUUUCUUUUUAAAAUUCCGUUAGAAUCGUACUAAAAUUGUAAAAAAUCUAACAAAUACAUUUUGAAUUGGACAUUUCACAAAUACAUGUCCUACCAGUAUCAUACGAAUGUAAACAAAAUUCUUUCUUCAUAUGCCGCAUUCUUUUACUGUGAUAACUCAUUUCAACUCUCUCACAACUGAUUCGUAAUCUGUGGGAUGCAUUAAAGCCUUUUGCAGUUAAAUCAAUAGUAUAUGAUGAUGUGAAUGUUAUUUAUAUACUAAAUAUAAUCACAUAGUAACUUCAAAUUUGAUAAGGUACAACAUGUUACCAUAUCUCUUUUAAUUUCUUUUAUUUCAUUAUAUAUUUAGGUGUAUUUAAUUUCUUUUUAUUUCAUUGUGUAUUUAGGUGUAUUACGUAAAAUAUAUAAUUAAAAAGAAAGAAGAAUAAUGUUAUUUUUAAAUUUAAAGAAUGACAUAUAGAAAUAAACAAGCUAUUUUGAAAUUUUUAGAUUUUACAAAACAUUACAUUUUGAUUUUAAUAUUUAUAAAAUAUUUUUUAAUUUCAUAUUUAAAACACAACACUUAGUUGAGUGUGUUCCUUAGUUACUUACCAAAUAACAACAUACAUCUUAUCGGGUCUUUUUGCGACCCGACCCAAACUCAUCUCGAUCCUAGUAGGGUUCGCAUCAUCUUCAAUUGAGGAGUAGAUUUGUCAGGAGGAAAAUAAAUUGAUUUAUAAGAACAUGUGAAGUUGUUUAGAUUGAGGAAUAAUAGAUGGAUUUUGAUUAUGAUUUAUGGUAAGUUUAAAAAAAAUAGAUUUGUUUCUUUUAACAUUUUUUGUAUUAUAAUUAUUUGCUGGCUGAAUUGUUUUGAGUUAACAUGUUUUCUUGGGGUAUGAUAUUGUGAGGUUUUAUUACAUGCAGGUACGUGAAUAUUUUUUUUAUUCUAGUUGUAUAAAUCAGGAAAAAAUGUUUUUCACAAUAUAAUUAUAAUAACCGUUUAACAACCUAAAUAAUAAUAAAAUAUUAACUCAUAUUAUUUAAUUAAAUUAUUAAAUAAAAAGUAGUAAAACUGAUUGUAGGAUGGGAAUAUGAUUAUUUUUAACUGCUAGCUCCUCAUUAUUCUUUUAUAAUAAAAAACACACUAGUAGGUGUUGAAAAUCGUAAUAUAACAAACAAGUUUUGACACACGUAGGUUUGGCAAUUGUUUUAAUAGCUGAAAAUAGUAAAACAAUUUUUAAUUACCACAAACUGCAUCUUAAAUCAUAAAAAAUAGCAUUUUUUAGUUCAUAUAUAAUAACAUUUCCAUAAAUAAAUCUCCCGCCGCCAUUGAUAUUAAUCAUUAAUAAUUUUAGAUAAUAUUUUUUACUAUAAAACAUUUAAUUGAGAUUGAAUUUUUAAUUCACACUUUUUGGUCAAAGAAUAAUAUAUUUCAUUUUUUUAUUUAUUAAAUAUUUUGUAUAAUGCUGAGAAAAAAAAAUCUCACACACACACACACAUAUAUAUAUAUAUGAUCCCUAUGUCCUACAAGUACAAUAUAACAUCGUUAGUAUAAUGAAUAAAAAUAAUGAGUAUUCAAAGUCGUGUAUUUACGUAAAAGAAUAACAUGAUUUUUAAAAGAACUCACAUUAUCAGUUUAAAUUUUGACGAUAAAAUACAUUAAUUAUAUAUAUUUAUUCAAAAUUUCAAUUAUAUUAUGCAUUAAUGGUUUUAUGCUUUUAGAGGAAUCAGAGAAACUUAGAAAAGCUUAAUGAAACCCUAUGAAUAAAGGAGAUGUAAAAGAAAGAGAAAAAGGAAGUGAGAAAAGAUGAUAAUUAAUAAACACCCACUCUUCAUAACAUAGAGUCUUUAAACCUAUAUUCCCUCAAACAGCAUUUAUAAGUUAUUAUCACCCACAUGGAAUAAGGUGCCUCAAUGUGAACAAACCAAGAUCAGUAAGAAAUAUGAGGUUCAAAUAACGAAGCUGAGAAUUUUCUGGUUUUACAGCUCCAUGCACAAACCUAAUACAAUGAUAUGAUAUUCCAUAGGAUGGAGAAAAGUAUGAUAUGAAGAGGAUUUACCAAUUACCCUUUCGAAUGCAGCUCCUCAGGAUUCCAUCAUGCCUUCACUGCACAUGCAACCCAAAUAUGCUAAAGAAGUUAAUCAAACCCAAAUAUAAAGAAUUUCUAGAGAAUGCAACUCUGGGACAACAGAGUACCCCAUCUCAAGCUGAACAGAAACAUUAAACUAUAUCUAACAAUAACUUAGAAAUCUUUGUCAACAAUGAACGAAUCCAACCGUAAAAUGCCAUUGAAAAUGUAAAUAAAACAAAAUAAAUUAGAUAUGAGAAAUUCAUGAUAAAAUUUCAACACUUGUAAUGUAGAAGCAUUACGAUAAGCCAGUUUUGAUCCUCACCAAUGAAAGUCUAAUUAGCAGAAGAGGAAGAGACUAGUUGACUGGGUAGCUUUCUGCAAUGCCUAUUUUAAGGUUACGCUUCCGGCAAAAAUAUAAUAGAAGACUGCUCUCAUGUCAAAGUUUCUCAUACAUAGAACAACCCGCAAAAGAGAUUAAACAUUCCAAAAGAUGUCUCAACAGAAAUGAAAUGAGAUCCUAACAACUUGUUGGGAAAGUACUAUUUUGCCUUCAAUUCCAUUACUUCCUUUUGCCUUUAAGAGUGCAGUCAUAAUCAUCAAAAUACUUAGACUUUGUGAUAUGUCUUUUGGGCUUGCUAUUCAUCUUUUGUUGCCUCCUCUUGAGCCAUAACACUUUUGGCCUUCCUCUUCCUAUAUUCCCUUGUGUCUCUUGAAGACUGUGCAACAUUACUUCGACUGGAUUAUUCAAUGUGAACAGCACCACCAUAUUCAUCAUCUUUCUUUUUGGAAUAAAGAGGGCAUAUGCCGCAUUCUUUUACUCUGAUAUCGGGCCACCAAUGGCUGAUCUCAAAAGUGAAGCUGCGAGCAUCACAGAGCCUAAGGCUCAUGCCGCUUGCCCUUAGGGACUCCAAGUUAAAUUUCCACACAAAUGUGUGAUCUUUAUCAAGAAAUCUGCCUGCAUCCGUCAAGUUUAACACAUCAUUAUUUGGAAUGAUCUGUGUGCCAUCAUCAUCAGAUUCAAAUUUUAGGCUGUAACCAAAAGAACUAUAUCUACCUUUAAUAUCAUUCGUAUCUAACACUUCAAAAACCACGCACAAAGAGAAACCAGUGAGCCUAUUAUCGCUGCAAAAACUUAAAUCUUCAUUUAUAGUCACUGAAUGUCCCUUCCCACGAAAAUGGAACCAACCAGGAACUGCACUCCCUGGAUAACAGAAGAACACAGACCUAUAUGCAUCGUCGGUCAUCCUAAGCCUUGCAUCCUUCUCAAUGUUAGCACGACCACCUGAAUCCAGUUGUUGAGCAUUGGUGAAAUGAAAUUUGAAUACACCCUCUUUGGAAUUUGAGAGGUUCCGAACAAGAGAAUUUGACAUCACUUUUCUAAUGGAUGGGCAAUCCAAUGCCACGAGUUGUUUUAGAAAUGGUGGAAUCGGUGGGAUGCAUUCAAGCUUUUUGCAGUCGCUUAAAUCAAGCGAUUUCAAGCUCGAAAGAUGAGCAAUGCUCUCAGGAAGGUUCACGAUUCCGCUAUCACGCAGUGACAGUUCCAUUAAUGACGUCAAACGACCAAUGUGCCUUGGGAUUUCUGUUAAUUUGGCACACCCCGAACAAUCAAGUUUAGAGAGAAGCUUCAGAUUAACAAUGCAGUUUGGAAGUGACUCGAGAUCAGUGCAUUUGCGGAGCUCCAGGGAACGAAGAUUAACGAAAUUGGCAAAUGAGGAAGGCAGUUCUUUAACAGUCGUAGAUGUUAAGUUAAUGUGAGCAAAAGUAUGAGCCGACUCCGUGAUCUCUGGGAAGGUCCUCAGCCUUGAGCAACCACGCAAAUCAAGGUUCCUCAACUUCAAAUUGAAAAUGGUGCUUGGAAAAGUUUGAAGUGAAUUACAGUGGGCAAGGUCUAACUUGCAUAGUCUGGUGAGGCUUCCAAUGGAAGAUGGAAUAAUCUCAAGAUUGAAGCAACUGUGCAAACUCAGUUGUUGAAGCCCUACCAAACGGCACAAGGAUGAAGGUAGUGCCUGUAUGGCUGUGUCGUCUAAGAUGAGCACCGCUAGAUCUUCCAACGUGUCCUGAAUCUCGGGUAAAUUUUCCAGUUUUGAGCAACCACUGAGACAAAGUUGCUUUAGGAAUUUCAUAUCAGAAAGGUCAAACGGAAAGAUUGUAAGGGAAGAACAGUCAGAGAGAUCUAAGUAACAGAGGUUCUUGAGACUUUGAAAGUUUAAGGGCACACCUUCCAAGAGACUGUUGAACACCUCUGAGUCUUCUGAGUCUGUAGCAUUAUUAGCCACUUCUAUAUUAUAUCUGUCAAAAGUAAUUGACAAAAUUUCACUGCUUGGGGAAAUUUCACUGGAAGUUGGGAAAUUUAUCUCUUUCGUCAUAUCCAGUUCCUGACGCUCCAGUAUGACAUGAGGGAGAAAUUUAUCUUCAUGUUUACUGAUUGAAAACAUAUUAAGCUUCCGACAAUGGGAAAGAGUAAUCCAUCCUGGUGAUGUGGAUAAAAUGUUGCUCGGAAUAUUUACACUAUUCAGAUCAUCACAAUGAUCUAAACAUAAACAACUGAGUUUGCUGAGGAAUAUCGAAGAGUGAAUUUCAAUCAACUUUUUACAAUAACUCAGAAUUAUUUUUUCAAUAUUUGGUGACAUAGAAAGGUCUGGUAUUCUAGCAAGUUUCCAAGAACGUGUCAGGUCGAGCCUUUUCAAGUUGGGUAAAUUCUGCCACAAAAAGUAAAUGAAUCAGGUAACAAAUAAUAACUACUUUAUCUAUUUUUCUUCCUAUUUAAACUAUUAGCUACUACUAUUGAGUUUAUAUUUUACAUUACUUAAAAACCACUGUUAAAAAAGCCACACUGUGGACUAACAAAAUUAUAUUUUAAAAUAUUAUUAAAGAUAAAAUAUGAAGAUAGGGUAAUUAAAUUAAAUAUAAUUUUUAUUUUUCAGAAAUGAUGAAAAUUAUAAUUAAAUUAACUAAAUUAUAUAAAAUUCCAUUUUAUUUACAUAACUCCUUUUCAUAUUAAAAAACUAUAUAAGAUCUUGAAACUAUAAUUAAUAUCUUAAAAAUUUAAAUAAUAAUAAUUAUUUCUACUCAUCCUUAAUUUUUGUUGGUGAAAUCUUGAUUUUUGGGAUAAUAUCACUUAAACUUAAGAAAUAUUUGACAUUAAUGAACUCUAAACAAAUUUAUAUAAGAAAUCAAGACAUCACUUUCAAUCCGAAAUCUUAAACUAAUAGGUUUAUGGAUUUUCUUUAUAUGUUGUUCAUCUUACCAAUUUGAACCCAAUGCGAGACUUUCAACUCUAAGAGAUGAAGUGGUGUACUUUAUGCUUCUAGGACUUGUUAGAUAUUGAAACAUGUACCAUUGCUAAAAUGUUUGAAUGAAGGAGAAGUCAAAGUCUCUCUCCUUUAGAGAUAUUCGCUCAAGUGGCAAGAGGUUGAUUAAGCAAGAGAGAGAUCGUAUUAAUUCUCUCUUCUAUGCAAUUGUUGUCGUUCAAACAAUGUGGAAUCAUUCAAGCAAAGAAAUCUUCUUUUGGGUUAGGAAACAAGGUUUUUCAAGCGAGAUAAACUCGUCUAAAGAAUUUAACUCUAGUAGUGAAAUGUUGUUGCCAUGAUUUAGCCAAGUGUUUGUAUCUAUGAGGCUAAUGAUGAUGAUGACGAUGAUAAGAUGCAUGAAUGUGUAUACACAAGUGUAUGAUAUACCUCAUGUUAUAUAUUGUAUGUGAUUCAAUUGAUGACCAUUUAUUUUUAGGCCAUUUAUAUGUAUAUUUUGGCCCUUUUAUGAGUAUGUGACGAGAUAUACCUAAGAUUGUAUUAUGAUCCUAAUGAGUCGAAGUAUCAAACACAAAACUCAUUAUGGAAAAAAAAAGAUAUUUUGUGCAUCAGUUAUGAUAUGAUCACAACAAUUAAAGCAUGUGUGAACGGUUAAUAUUGUUCUUAAUAAGAAAACAAAUAAUAUUGUAUGUGACAUUAGAGAUGUCAAAUAGGUUUAGAAAAUUAUUAAGUUUAAUUAUCUUUUUAGUCUUUAUAUUAAUGACCAAAAGUCAAUUCAGAUUUUUAGAAAGUUCAAUAUGAUUUAAUUUUUUAAAAAACAAUUCAAUGUGAUUCCUUCUAGUAUAUUUCCCUUAUUAAAAUAUUUUUAUCUUAAUGAUUCUGCCACUGUUAAGUUAUAUGUGUUGUUAUCACAUUGAAUUGUUUUAAAAAAAUUUGGAACCACCACAUUAAAUUGUUUUAAAAAGUUAGUACUAAAUUGAACUUUUGAAAAUUGGGAGAAUGAAAUUAAAUUUUGUCUAUUAAUACAGGGACAAAAAAUAAUUGAAUCAAAUAUUUUACUAUUUUUGUGAUGUAUAUUUAUAUAUAAAUAAUUUUGAGAAUUUAGAGUUACAAUGUGUUAUAUCAUAUAUAUAUAAUUCUUUUUGGUAAUGUAUCCUGUAGUUGUAAGCAAGUAUGAUUAUAUUAAGUGGGGCGUUUCAAAUAGUGGAGACUACGCAUAUACAAAUAUCUCUUAUAAAGUAAGAAAACAAAACAAUCGUUACUCAAGAAGAUCAUGCAAUGCAUCACAGACAACAUGGGAGAUAUAUAUCAACAAUAAUAUGAGUAAAUAAUACAUUCAUGGGCCAUUAGACGAUAUGCCUAAAAAAAAUAUGCAAACUAUUAAAUUUAUAAUUAUUUUUAAUUAGAAACAUGCUGAGUAUGACUCUUAUGAUAUAUGUAUAACUGUGUGCUUCAAAUAAAAGAAAUUUCAAAUCGAAUAAUGUGGAGAAGGCACAAAGGAAUUGCAAAUGAAAACCUGUAGAUGUAUAAUACACAAAACAUGCUUGUCUAAUUUAUUUUUAUCUUUGAAAGUUUAGAACACAAAGGAACAUAGAUAACUUGAAAAACCUGAUCUCCUUCCCAGAGUUGUUCAAGAUCGCAGUAUGGCAUUUCGAGGAUCACUAGAUUUUGUGGGCAAAAGUUUGGAGGCCAGAAUCUUUGAAGGAAACCGUUCCAAUAAAGAAACUUUAGAGUGUCCGGCAGACCUACAAGAGAUGAUUCAAGAGACACUUUUGAAUUCAAUCUAGGCAUGUAGACCAUAAGCAUCAUAAGAUUGUCCAUCUUUUCGAAACUUUGUGCAUGUACUACAGCAUCUUUUACUUUGUUCGUAUGAUAUUGAUAUACACUGUAUUGCAUCUGACCCCUGAAAGUAAAUCAAUGUAAUUAGAAAAAAAAACAUGAAAUGUUGCAUUUCAGGAUGCUUAAUGACAGCUCAGUAGUUUUCUAUUUUUCACAAAGUAACAACAGCAUAUACCUUGUUCUUUCUUAAAACCUCACAAAUUUCCUCAUCAUUAAACAAUCGGCUGCGUUUUCCAGGAUGCUGAGGACACUCUUUACGAACAAUUUCUUUACCCAUUUCUUGUAUUAGAUCGUGCAUCACAAUUCUACCAUCAAAGACAGAGAUUAGACCCCUAUCUUUGAGAAUAUCCAUUCCAAUCUUAGAAGAGAAACCACAGUCAUCAAGUGUUUCUGCUACCACAGUCUCCUCUUGCCCUCUAUAAAAGCAAGCUAUGUCAAGAAAUAUAUUCUUCUCCUCCUCCUUGAGCCCAUAAUAACUUAAUUUUAAUACGUCGAAAGUUCCAAGAUCUUGGCCGUUUUCCAACUUUUGCAACUGACUCUCCCAUGCUUCUCUUGUUCUGCCAUAAAGCAAUGACCCCAAAAUCUGGAGAGCUAACGGAAUUCCUUUUGCAUAUCUCAACACCUUUACUGACAGGUCCAUGUAAGCAAUUCCUUCUGAAGAUUUUUGUUUAAAAGCAUGUAAACUAAAAAGUUUCAGAGAAUCAUAAAAAUUCAACUCCUUAACUUCGUAGAUAUCAUCAGCUCCAGCAUUCUUAAGCACUUGUCUGUCUCUACUGGUCAUAAUGAUUCUACUGCCCUGCCCAAAACUAUCACUCCCACCUAUUAAUUUUUGAAGUUGAGUUGAAUCGGUAACAUCAUCAAGAAUGAGGAGAACCUUUGUCCGUUUGAGCCUUUCAUUGUAAUAUGGUAAAUAAGAGGAUUUCUCUUCCUUUAGAAGCUCAGACUGAUAUUUUGUUCUGAUACCGUCUAUUCCAUCUCUUUGUAUUUUUUCUUGAACGUCUAAAACAAGGCUGCUGGAAUCAAACUGCAAUGCCAAUUUCUGAUAUAUUUGAUCACAAAUUGUAGUUUUUCCUAUUCCUCCCAUGCCACAAAUUCCUAUGAUCCGAACAUCCGUUGACUCAAGAUGCAACAAGGACUGAAUUCCUUCAAUAUUUUUUUCAAUGCCGAUGAUUCCUUGAUCAUAACUGGCGGAAUAACGAUUCAAUUUUCUCAAAAUAUCUUCCACAAUUUCUUCAACAAGUGCGUGUUCUGGCCUGGCAGAUGAUUUAGAAAAUAAAGUAUAAGUAUUCAAGCACAAAAGCUAAAGUAAACUAAAGAAAAAUUUUACAGUAACCGUUUGUGACUUCUGAUACUAGGGAGCAUACUUGUAGGUACAAAGUUAAGCUAUUGUGUGAUAUGGUUCAGAUCUAUGACCGACUAAUAGAAAUGAAAAAAGAAGCACUUGAUUUAUGGUGAGAUGAACACAAUUUUAGUAAAUGAAAAGAGAUCCUGAUUAUCUAAUAAAUAUAAUGACCUGGUGACUUUUGAAUCCCAGCCUGCAAGUCCAGCAGCUUCGGUGAGAGCAUCCUUCCAUCCUUGCACUGUGUCGUGCUUAAAGUGCUGCUCAUGCUCAUUGAAUGCUUCUUUGUAUCUUUCUUCCUGCUUCCUAAUAGUUGAUGGAUCCACCUUGUAGAAAACAGGUAUCACAUCCCUUCCAUAUCUCUUCUUGCAAUCAAGUAUCUUAGUGAGUUCAUCCAAGCACCAUGUGGAAGAUGCAUAGUUUUUGGAGAAAACGAUGACAUAAAUCUUUGAUUCUUCUAUUGCAGAGAGGAGUACAGGUGAAAUUUCUUGGCCCCUGAGUAAUCUGUAAUCAAUAUAUGCUUGAAUGUUCUUCCUUUGCAGCGCUGCAUAAAGGUGACUAAUGAAGUUGUCACGUGUGUCUUCCCCUCUGAAGCUGAGAAACACAUCAUGCUUUGUUAAAGAAGCAGACAUGGCCAAUGAUGAAGGGUUUCAAUGUUCUCUGCAACUCUCAGAUCCCUUUGUUUGUAAGCAACUUCCAUAUAUUCUAUUAGGAAGGAAAAUAUAUAUUUCUACCAUUCCUACCACAAAUUGAAAAAGCCUUUCAAUUUUCUCAAAAUAUCUUUCACAGCUGUGUUCUGUCAGAUACGAAACAUUGAGUCAAUGGAAGAGUCAACAAUUGGCAGAAUAUUAUGGUGUGUAGCUUUAUACCAUUCUUACAAUAUUUGAUUGGUUGAAUAUAUACAAUAUGACUAAUGAACUUUUUUCUUUUCCGUAUUCCACGAUAAUUCCCUAGGCACCCUAUUAUACACUUUCUUAUCAACGGAAACCAUGUCUGUCCUUUUAUAGUUUUAAUCCUAUAAUAUCUUUCCAUUAAUCAUCAUUAUCACUCUUCAACCUUCAUAUCAAGUGUAUUGAUUUCAUACUUCAUCAGCUAGACAUAAUAAAAUCUCAAUAAUCUUUUAUACUGUCAACAUUUAUAAAAAAUAUUUCCUUCAAUAAUAUUUGUACUUUCUAGCAUAUAGAAUACUUAAUGGAUUCUUCUGUGAUUUUUCUUUCCUAAAGUACAAUUGAUAUUUUAACAGAUGCCGAAAGGUCUUGAAUAUGAGGCUGUUUCGAAAUGAAAAUUGGGGUAAAGCAUUUUCAAGUUAACAAGUUUUGUUGGGUGAGUGAGUGAUCAGUGCUAGCAUUUUCAAUCUCAGUUAUAGAAUGUAAAGAUUUACACAUUUAUUUGCUGAUUAAUAAUUUAUUUAUUGAAUUAAAUGUUUUAACAGUGAGUAUGGAUUCUUGAAUGAAUGUAAUCAUGGUGUAGAAUGUACAUAGUACAUAUAGUGAGUUGGAUUGAAAUGUUGAACACGUUUUCCUCUGCAAAGAUUCAGGAUAUUUAUGAACUUGCUAUAAAUUGUUUUAACUUUUCUCUGCAACUCUCAGUCCCUUUGUUUCUACCAUUUUGUUUUUGAAAAGCCUUUCAAUUUUCUCAAAAUAUCUUUCACUGCUGUGUUCUGUCAGAUACGAAACAUUGAGUCAAUGGAAGAGUCAACAAUUCGUAGAAUAUUAUAUUAUGGUGUCAAUAUUUAAUAAAUUUAUUUAUUUCUUUAACAUAUUUUAGAAAAUAACCAGUAAACAUAAAACUUUUAGUAUGACUAAAAGAAUAAAGAUAGUGUAAGAAUAACAGGAAUAACAUUACUACAAAUAACAAUAUAUUAAUAUUAAUAUGUUUCUUAAUAAAUUUUACACCCACUGUCUAUUUAUAAAUUAAUAUAUUAUAAACAUCUAUUGAUUUUUUGUGGGUAGCUUAUUUCUGUAACAUUUUAAAUUAAUUUUUUAGAUUUUACAAAACAUUACAUUUUGAUUAUAAUAUUUAGGACUGUGAUGCAAUUUCUGCAAUGAAGGCUGGCAGACUAAGUUUCUCCAAGCCCAAUUAAUACUGGGUUGAAAAUUCUGAGAAGAGGGUGAGUAUGAUGCUGCGGUCAUGAUCUAUGUAUUAAAGUGUUAAGGCAUGGGUUUGGUUGACAGGACAAUACUGGUUUUUCAUUGCUACUACUUAAUAUGAUUCUUUCUUACUGCUAUAUGAAUUUGCUGUCAAAUAGCAGUAAAUAAAAGACUUCAAAUAAAGCAUGUGUUUAUCAUACAUGGACUAAUGCAGCAGUUUUAGUAGAAGGGGCUAAUAUGAUUUUAAUCUAGAACAAGAUGGCUAAACCCAAAGAUGGUGGGAAUAAUAUCCUCAAAUCAAUUGUUUUGGUUUUCAGUGUAAUGUCAUUUGUAAGUAUCAAAAUUUGUUUGUUAUCACAUUGGAAGGUAGUAUCUGUCAUGAAAUUUGUGGAAGACCUUUACCUAUGUUUGCUUUGGGUCUGUUUUACGCCCUCUCGAAUUAAGUAAAUUUUUAAUUGCCAUCAUGAAAUUAGGCUAAAUAUGUGUAGUUUUGAGCACUUUCUUUCUUCCAUUUCAAUUCAUAGUUUCAUACAUAUUCAAUAUCAUGUGGGAAUUAAGUUCUUGCUUUUAAGGUGAAUAACAGUUUGUAUUCUUGCAGAAAACUAUUUUCUAAUGCAUAUAAAUUUCAUUUUCUAUUUUCAGCAUUGGAUUAUGUUAUGUAAUUUUUCCUUUGUAUUAUACAGAGUAGGAUUUUAAUGUUUCUACUGAACAGUGCUAUCUUUUUUCGUCCAUAUUCUGAUUUUGUUCAAUUUUUUUCAGUAUGUGCCACAUGCAGAUCAGAUGUAAGGAAUUUUCUAAAUUUUUUUUCAAGCUUUCUUGUUUGCUUAAAGUUUUCUGUAAGUAUUUAACUGUCUUAAGUUGUUAAUGAGGACUAAGGACUGAAAAAGAGAAUUAGCCAUGACAUGGUGGCAUUAUCCUUCUUCAAAACCAUUAGUUUUUUUUCCUACAAAGAUACAUGUCAAGAAAGCAAACCAGGAACAAAAGUGAUGUUUAUGAUUGCUUUCUCUCUUGUUUACUUGCUUUCUUUUUGUUGGACAAUUGUCUUAAUUGCAUUCACACCUAACCUGCAGUAGUUUCAGUCCCUUUGGGGUUGUCAUAAUUGCAGCCUCAAGAGUGGUGGUGUAGUCCAACAUCAACCAGUGAUAUAGUUCAAAUAUAGCAUAUACAUGAAAGUCGUGUUGAUAAUCAAAGGUUGCUUCAUCUUAACUAAUAACAUGUAAAUGUCAUUUGAAUGGUUAAAAAGGAAUUCACCAGUGUAACACAAAAUGAAUGGAUUGCUUGGUUAUGUGUCAACUGUUGUACUUUUUUUGAGUUGCUUGAAAAUAAUUAAAAUUUGUUUUCAUCUAGAUCUUGGUUUUUUCCUAUGAUCAAAUCUCGAUUUAUUUCUGUGCAGAACUUUCUUGUGGACAUAAAAGGACCAGCUAUAGCAUUUUUACCGGUGCUUGCAUUUGAAGGAGGAACUAGAAGAAAUAUACCUAGGUUUGAGGUGUGUAUAAAUUAUUUUUGAUGUAUUUCGUGAUGUAGAUGUAAAAUAAUGCAAUACUUUGUUUUUAGUUUCAAUGUUACUCUUUAUCUGCAGGUUGGAAACAUAUCUUGAUGAAAUAUAGAAACAUUUUUAUUCAUAAUAUAUAUAUAAGGAUUACACAUUCAUAAUUAUUUCUUUCUGUCGUAGCAUUGUCUACCUCAAAUCACUGCAACUUUCUGUUGUUGGUAUAAAAAUACAAUAUUUUAAUCCCAGUUUUGAUAGCCUCUAUUCUUCAGUGGUUGAGAUAUUUUUUAUAAGAAUUUAGAAGUUCUGAGAUAUUUAUGAUAAGAAUUUCAAGUUCUUUGUUACUAGCAGUUUAAUGGUUAUAUCAUUUUUGUUCUCUGGAAAAUAUCUUAUACAAAAUCGGUACUUAGAUUUGGUAUUUAUAUUGUUCAUAUGUAGAAAUCUAAUACUAGCAAAUUUUGUCUAAUUUAAAAGCAAUUACAUUCUACUCUUUGGAAUAUGUUCUGGCCUGCUUUUAUGAAUUAUUUGAAAAUUUGUAAUUAUAAAAUUUAGUCUUUGAAAUUAUAAAUUUAAUAGAGAAGCAUCCAUACUAAACUUUUAUAUUAUAAAUUGUCAGUUUUAUAUUGAAAACAUAUCCCCUUUAGUAUAAGACUUAAAGGAGAUGUCUUUUGGUAUAAAAACUGAAAUAAAAAAUAUUUUAACUAUAUGGGUCAAAUGGAUGAUUAAACUUAUAAAAUGUACAAUUAAACUUAUAAAUUAUAAUAAACGAUACUUUAAUUUUAAACUAUAUUGAACUUUUAUUAAUGUUCUCGCUUUUCUUUAAAAGCUAUUGAACUCUAUCUAACAAUAACUUAAAAAUGAGAAAUUCAUGAUAAAAUUUCAACACUUGUAAUCUAGAAGUAUUACGAUAAGCCAGAAGAGGAAGAGACUAGUUGACUGGGUAGCUUUCGGCGUUCCUCUUCCUAUCUUCCCCUGUUUCUCCUGAAGAGUGUGCAACAUUGCUUCCACUGAAUUCUUCAAUGUCAUUUUCUGAUGCAGAAUAGUCAACAGCACCACCAUAUUUAUCAUCUUUCUUUUUCGUAUAAAGAGGGCAUAUGCCGCAUUCUUUUAUUCUGAUACCUGAUUUCAACUCUCUCUCAACUGAUUCGUAAUCUGGCCGAUUUGGCCGCAGAAAGGGAUCAUACGGACUGAUCUCAAAAGUGAAGCUGCGAGCAUCACACAGCCUAAGGCUCAUGCCGCUCGCCAUUAGGGACUCCAAGUUAAAUUUCCACACGAAUGUCCCUUCACCAUCCCAUUUGAAAUAGCUAUUUAACACACCCUUAUAUGGAAUGAUCUGUGUGCCAUCAUCAUAUUCAAAUUUUAGGCUGUAACGAAAAGAACCAUAUCCACCUUUAAUAUCUAACACUCCAAAAGCUACACACAAAGCGAAACCAGUGAGCCUAUCAUCGCUGCAGAAACUUAAAUCUUCAUUUAUAGUCACUGAAUGUCCCUUCCCACGAAAAUUGAACCAACCAGGAACUGCACUCCCUGGAAAACAGAACAACACACACCUAUAUGUAUCGUCGAUCAUCCUAAGCCUUGCAUCCUCCUCGAUGUUAGCACGAGCACCUGAAUCCAGUUGUUGAGCAUUGGUGAAAUGAUAUUUGAAGACACCCUCUUUGGAAUUUGACAAGUUUGGAACAAGAGAAUUUGACAUCACUCUUCUAAUGGAUGGGCAAUCCAAUGCCUCGAGUUGUUCUAGAAAUGGUGGAAUCGGUGGAAUGCAUUCAAGCUUUUUGCAGUCGCUUAAAUCAAGUGAUUUCAGGCUUGAAAGAUGAGCAAUGCUCUCAGGAAGGUUCACGAUUCCGCUAUCACGCAGUGACAGUUCCAUUAAUGACGUCAAGCGACCGAUGUGUCUUGGGAUUUCUGUUAAUUUGGCACACCCCGAACAAUCAAGUUUAGAGAGAAGCUUCAUAUUAACAAUGGAGUUUGGAAGUGACUCGAGAUAAGUGCACUCUUGGAGUUCCAGGGAUCGAAGAUUAACCAAAUUGCCAAAUGAGGAAGGCAGUUCUUUAACAGCCGUACAUGUCAAGUCAAUAUGAGCAAAAGUAUGAGCCGGCUUCAUGAUCUCUGGGAAGGUCCUCAGCCUUGAGCAACCACCCAAAUCAAGCUUCCUCAAUUUCAAAUUGAAAAUGGUGCUUGGAAAAGUUUGAAGUGAAUUACAGUAGGUAAGGUGUAACUUGCAUAGUCUGGUGAGGCUUCCAAUGGAAGAUGGAAUAAUCUCAAGAUUCAAGCAACUGUGCGAACUCAGUUGUUGAAGCCCUACCAAACGGCACAAGGAUGAAAACUUAUUUUAUUUUUGCUGUUCAUGCAUAACAUUAACAAAUAUUGACAUGAGAGAUUGUGUUUGUAGGCUUCUAAGCUCACCAACGUGUCCCGUUCUUGAUGCUUUAGGGAAGAAAAUUUCCUUUGAGAUUGCAAAAGGACUCAGGAGAAUUUAGAAGUUCUGAGAUAUUUAUGAUAAGAAUUCAAGUUCUUUGUUACUAGCAGUUUAAUGGUUAUAUCAUUUUUGUUCUCUGGAAAAUAUCUGAUACAAAAUUGGUACUUAGAUUUGGUAUUUAUAUUGUUCAUAUGUAGAAAUCUAAUACUAUAGCAAAUUUUAUCUAAUUUAGAAGCAAUUAUAUUCUACUCUUUGGAAUAUGUUCUGGCCUGCUUUUAUGAUUGUAAUUAUAAAUUUAAUAGAGGAGAUUACCAAACAUCCAUACUAAUUAAACUUUUAUAUUAUAAAUUUUUUCAGUUUUAUAUUGAAAACAUAUCCCUUUAGUAUAAGACUUAAAGGAGAUGUCUUUUGGUAUAAAAACUGAAAUAAAAAAUCUUUUAACUAUAUGGGUCAAAUGGAUGAUUAAACUUAUAAAUGUACAAUUAAACUUAUAAAUUGUAAUAAACGAUACUUUAAUUUUAAACUCUAUUGAACUUUUUUUAAUGUUCUCGCUUUUCUUUUAAAUGCAUUUCACUUGUGUGUUUUGUAUUCAGGCUGAUUUUAACUUUAUUCUCAAAUAUACAAAAUAAUUUUUGGUAAUUAUCUUGUGUCGAUCUUGACUUGUAGUAUCAAUGUGAAAUAUGUAAUAAUUACUUUUCUAUGAUUCAGAGGGAAAAUUAUUCCAACUAGACUUUUACAAAUAUAUUUCAAGUGGUAAUAUGAUUUUAAAAAAAAUAGGAUUCGCCACAAAAAAAAGUUACUGUUCCUAAUUGACAUGGUGCUGUCAAAAUUAUUUAAUUACAAUUUAGAUCUUCACUCUACAUAUAAUUAAUUAAUUACCAAUUAUUUAAAAGACUAGUAAAUUAUAAUUUUAAUCUCUCUACAACUUUCUAAAUUUAGUUAUGAUUCUCUCAAAAAAAUUUCCCUUAAAUAUUAAUUAUAAUUACCUUUAGACAGAAACAUUUCUAAUUUAAACAAGCAAAAAUAAGAAAAAAAAAUAGAUUACAAAAACUAAAUUUGAAUUUUUUUAUAUAACUCCAAAUAUAUUUUAUCCAUAAAUAAAUUCUAUUAAUAUUUCAUUUCUGUUUAAAUAGUUUAUUCAUAUUUGUAAUAUUAUUUUCAAAAAACAAUAAUUGUUUUUUGAAUAAAGGUUUACAAAUUCUAUAAUAAUGUAAAUGAGAAGAGGAGUGAGGGUAAAAAUAUGAGAACCUAUGUGAGGGAAUCUUGUGACAAUUUAGCUGGUGUUCAACUUGUGAGAAGUCUUUCAACUUGGUUUUCAAGUUUUAUAUUCAAUUUCUGUUCCUUCAAAUGUUUCUGAUUUUACAGCUCCUCAGGAUUUUACAGCUCCAUGCACAAACCUAAUACAAUGAUAUGAUAUUCAAUCAGCAUUAAUUAGCAUAAACAGGUACCUUGUUGUAAAACUGGGAAUAUGAGAUUCCAUAGGAUGGAGAAAAGUAUGAAGAGGAAUUACCAAUCACCAUUUACCAAUCAUAAUGCCUUCACUACAAAUGCAACCCAAAUAUGCUAAAGAAGUUAAUGAAACUAUAUAUGAAGAGUUUCAAGAAGAUGCAACUCUGGGACAACAGAGCAACCCAUCUCAUGCUGAACACAAACAUCAAACUACAUCUAACAAUAAUUCAGAAAUCUUAAUCAACAAUUGAGCGAACCCACUCCUAAAAUGCCAUUGAGAAUGUAAAUAAAUCAAAAUACAUUAAAAACGAGAAAUUCUUAAUAAAAAUUCAACGUGUUGAACCUUGUAAUUUAGAAGUAUUAACGAGAAGCCAGUUUAGAUCCUCACCAAUGAAAGACUAUUUUACAGGUUAGCUUCCACUGGAUUCUUCAAUGUGAACAGCACCACCAUAUUUAUCAUCUUUCUUUUUGGAAUAAAGAGGGCAUAUGCCGCAUUCUUUUAUUGUCACAACUGACCACCCAAAGUCAUAAAGAGGACUGAUCUCAAAAGUGAAGCUGCGAGCAUCACACAGCCUAGGGCUUAGGGAUUCUAAGUUAAAUUUCCAGACGAAUGUGUGAUCUUUAUCAACAAAACUGUAUUCACCAUUCCAUUUGAAAUGUCUGUUUAACCUAUCAUUAUUUGGAAUGAUAUGUGUGCCAUCAUCAUCAGAUUCAAAUUUUAGGCUGUAACCAAAAGAACCAUAUCUACCUUUAACAGAAUUCGUAUCUAACACUCCAAAAACCACACACAAAGCGAAACCAGUGAGCCUAUCAUCGCUGCAGAAACUUAAAUCUUCAUUUAUAGUCACUGAAUGUCCCUUCCCACGAAAAUGGAACCAACCAGGAACUGUACUCCCUGGAAAACAGAAGAACACAGACCUAUAUCUAUCAUCGGUCAUCCUAAGCCUUGCAUCCUCCUCAAUGUUAGCACGACCACCUGAAUCCAGUUGUUGAGCAUUGGUGAAACGAAAUUUGAAGACACCCUCUUUGGAAUUUGACAAGUUUUGAACAAGAGAAUUUGGCAUCACUCUUCUAAUGGAUGGGCAAUCCAAUGCCACGAGUUGUUUUAGAAAUGGUGGAAUCUGUGGGAUGCAUUCAAGCUUUUUGCAGUCGCUUAAAUCAAGCGAUUUCAAGCUUGAAAGAUGAGCAAUGCUCUCAGGAAGGUUCACGAUUCCGCUAUCACGCAGUGACAGUUUCACUAAUGACGUCAAGCGACCGAUGUGUCUUGGGAUUUUUGUUAAUUUGGCACACCCCGAACAAUCAAGUUUAGAGAGUAGCUUCAGACUAACAAUGGAGUUUGGAAGUGACUCGAGAUCAGUGCAUUUGCGGAGCUCCAGGGAUCGAAGAUUAACGAAAUUGGCAAAUGAGGAAGGCAGUACUUUAACAGCCGUAUAUGAUAAGUCAAUGCGAGCAAAAGUAGGAGCCCGCUCCGUGAUAUCUGGGAAGGUACUCAGGCUUGAGCAACCACACAAAUCAAGCUUGCUCAAUUUCAAAUUGAAAAUGCUGCUUGGAAAAGUCUGAAGUGAAUUACAGCGGGUGAGGUGUAACUUGCAUAGUCUGGUGAGGCUUCCAAUGGAAGAUGGAAUAAUCUGAAGAUUGAAGCAACUGCGCAAACUCAGUUCUUCAAGCCCUAUCAAACGGCACAAGGAUGAAGGUAGUGCCUGUAUGGCUGUGGCGUCUAAGAUGAGCACCGCUAGAUCUUCCAACGUGUCCUGAAUCUCGGGUAAAUUUUCCAAUUUUGAGCAACCACGGAGAGAAAGUUGAUUUAUGAAUUUCAUAUCAGAAAGGUCAAUUGGAAAGAUUGUAAGAGAAGAACAGUGAGAGAGAUCUAUGUGAGAGAGCUUCUUGCCACUAAAUUGUAAGGGCACACCUUCGUAGUCUUCUGAGUAUUCUGAGUCUGUAGCAUUAUUAGCAUUUAUCUCUUUCAUCAUAUCCGGUUCCUGACGCUCCAGUAUGACAUGAGGGAGAAAUUUAUCUUCAUGUUCACCCAAUGAAAACAUAUUAAGCUUCUCACAACCGGAAACACUAAUCCAUCCUGGUGAUGUGGAUAAAAUGUUGCUGGGAAUAUUUACACUUUUGAGAUUAGAACAAUGAUCUAAACAUAAACAACUGAGCUUGGUGAGGAAUAUCGAAGAGUGAACUUCAAUCAACUUUGAACAAUAACUCAGCUUUAUUUCUUCAAUAUUCGGUGACAGAGAAAGGUCUGGUAUUCUAGUAAGUUCCCAAGAUUUAACCAGGUCGAGCCUUUUCAAGUUGGGUAAAUUCUGCCAGAAAUAGUAAAUGAAUGAGGUAACAAAUAAAAACUACUUUAUCUAUUUUUCUUCCUAUUUAAACUAUUAGCUACUAUCUAUUGAGUUUAUAUUUUACAUUACUUAAAAACCACUGUUAAAAAAACCACACUGUGGACUAACAAAACUCUGCCUAUAAAUUUUAUAGUUAUUAUAAAAAAUCACAAAAUUUAACGUCUUUUUGUUCCCUACCUAAAAUUACAUCCUAAUCAUUUGAACCUAAACUUAUUAUGUAUUCAAAAACUUAUGAUAGUAAUUUAUAAUCGAUCACAAUGUCAAAAUACUUUAUAUUAUACAUGUAUCAACUCACAAAAUAAAUGGUGUUGUCUCAGAUUUAAAAUUAAACCUUAGUUAAAAAGUCCAUCUUUCCAUAAUUUAUUUUAUUAAAUACAUAAUUUGUAAUUUAUUGUAUAUUAUAUUCAAGUUUAUGUUAUGAUAAAAAAAGUAUCUAAGGCAUUUUUAAUUAAAUAAUAUAAAAUAAACAACAUGAACUCAAUUAAAUAAUAUAAAUUUUUUUGAAUACUCGAUGGAAUAAAAAAAUUAAUAAAACCCUCAAUUUGAAAAUAACCAAAUUUAUAAGAUACUUAAAACUUAAUUAAACCUACAAAUUUUCAUUAUAUGGAAUUAAAUAUUGUAAAGAUUUACCACAUAAGUUUCAUAAGUAGAAGGUUUAAACAUAAAAUUCUUCACGUUGGGAGUUUCUUUCCUCUAUCUUAUAAGUUUUCGUUGUUUCUUUAAUAUUUUUUAUAUGGCUUCUGUCAAUGUAAUUUUUUUUUUGGUUUUAAAAUAUUAUUAAAGAUAAAAUAUGAAGACAGGGUAAUUAAAUUAAAUAUAAUUUUUAUUUUUCAGAAAUGAUGAAAAUUAUAAUUAAAUUAACUAAAUUAUAUAAAAUUCCAUUUUAUUUACAUAACUCAUUUUCAUAUUAAAAAACUAUAUAAGAUCUUCCAAAGUAGAUAUAAUACAUUCACGGGCCAUUAGAUGAUAUGCCUAAAAAAAUAUGCAAACUAUUAAAUUUAUAAUUAUCUUUAAUUAGAAACAUGCUGAGUAUGACUCAAAUAAAAGAAAUUUCAAAUCGAAUAAUGUCGAGAAGGCACAAAGGAAUUGCAAAUGAAAACUUGUAUAUGUAUAAUACAGAAAACAUGCUUGUAUAAUUUAUUUUUAUCUUUGAAAGUUUAGAACACAAAGGAACAUAGAUAGCUUGAAAAACCUGAUCUCCUUCCCAGAGUUGUUCAAGAUGGCAGAAUGGCAUUUCGAGGGUCACUAGAUUUUGUGGGCAAAAGUUUGGAGGCCAAAAUCUUUGAGGGAAAUGUGUCCAAUAAAGAAUCUUUAGAGUGUCUGGCAUAUCCACAAGAGGUGAUUCAAAAGACACUUUUAAUUCCAAUCCCCACGUGUAGAGCCUAAGCACCCUAAGAUUGUUCAUCUUUUCGAAACUUUGUGCAUGUACUACAACUUCUUUUACUUUGAAAGUAGAUAGUGAUAUACACUCUAUUGAAGUAGAUAGUGAUAUACACUCUAUUGCAUCUGACCCCUGAAAGUAAAUCAUGAAAUGUUGCAUUGCAGGAUGUUUGAUGACAGCUCAGUGGUUUGCAAUUUUUCACAAAGUAAAUCCAUUCUCAAUUGAGUAACGACAUAAUACCUUGUUCUUUCUUAAAACCUCUCAAAUUUCCUCAGCAUUAAACAAUCGGCUGCGUUUUCCAGGAUGCUGAGGACACUCUUUACGAACAAUUUCUUUACCCAUUUCUUGUAUUAGAUCGUGCAUCACAAUUCUACCAUGAAAGACAGAUAUUAGGCCCCUAUCUUUGAGAAUAUCCAUUCCAAUCUUGGAAGAGAAACCACAGUCAGCAAGUAUUUCUGCUACCACAAUCUCUUGUGACCUAUAUAAAAGCAAGCUAUGUCAAGAAAUAUAUUCUUCUCCUCCUCCUCGAGCCCAUCAUAACUUAAUUUUAAUACAUUGAAAAUACCAAGAUGUUGGCCCUUUUCCAACUUUUGCAACUGACUCUCCCAUGCUUCUCUUGUUCUUCCAUAAAGCAAUGACCCCAAAAUCUGGAGAGCUAAUGGAAUCCCUUUUGCAUAUCUCAACACCUUUUCUGACAGUUCCCUGUAAGCAAUUUCUUCUGAAGAUUUUUGUUUAAAAGCAAGUAAACUAAAAAGUUUCUGAGAAUCAUCAAAAUUCAACUCCUUAACUUCGUAGAUAUCAUCAGCUCUAGCAUUCUUAAGCACUUGUUUGUCUCUACUGGUGAUAAUGAUUCUACUGCCCUGCCCAAAACUAUCACUCCCUCUUAUUAAUUUUUGAAGUUGAGCUGAAUCGGUAACAUCAGUUAGAAGUGGAACACGUUUGUAGAAGUGGAACACGUUAGUUGGUUAGUUGCCUUAAGAAGCGGAUCAUGUAUUUUUUCUUGAACGUCUAAAACAAGGCUGCUGGAAUCAAACUGCAAUUCCAAUUUGUGAUAUAUUUGAUCACAAAUUGUAGUUUUUCCUAUUCCUCCCAUGCCACAAAUGCCUAUGAUCCGAACAUCCGGUAAGUCAAGAUGCAACAAGGACUGAAUUCCUUCAAUAUUUUUUUCAAUGCCGAUGAUUCCUUGAUCAUAACUGAUGGAAUAACGAUUCAAUUUUCUCAAAAUAUCUCCCACAAUUCCUUCAACAAGUGUGUGUUCUGACCUGGCAGAUGAUUUAGAAAAUAAAGUAUAAGUAUUCAUGCACAAAAGCUAAAACAAAACUAAAGAAAAAUUCAGAGUCAAGAAGAGUGAACAUCAUUGAAUAGAUUCACAUAUUGAUUGUAGGACGUUAUCUUCGAAUAUUAGUGUGGUUGGUUUAGAAAUUGCAAAUCAAGAUCGCAGAAAUUCUACAGUAACCGGUAGUGACUUCUGAUACUAGGAAGCAGUCUUGUAGGUACAAAGUUAAGCUAUAAGAUGUGAUAUGGUUCAGAUCUAUGACCCACUACGAAAAAUGGAAAAAAGAAACACUUGAUUUAUGGUGAGAUGAACACAAUUUUAGUAAAUGAAAAGAGAUCCUGAUUAUCUAAUAAAUAUAAUGACCUGGUGACUUUUGAAUCCCAGCCUGAAAGUCCAGCAGCUUCGGUGAGAGCAUCCUUCCAUCCUUGCACUUUGUCGUGCUUAAAGUGCUGCUCAUGCUCAUCGAAUGCUUCUUUGUAUCUUUCUUCCUGCUUCCUAAUAGUUGACGGAUCCACCUUGUAGAAAACAGGUAUGACAUCCCUUCCAUAUCUCUUCUUGCAAUCAAGUAUCUUAGUGAGUUCAUUCAAGCACCAAGUGGAAGAUGCAUAGUUUUGGGAGAAAACGACGAUAUAAAUCUUCGAUUCUUCUAUUGCAGAGAGCAGUGCAGAUGAAAUUUCUUCGCCCCGGGGUAGUGUCUCAUCAAUAUAUGCUUCUAUGUUCUUCCUUUGCAGUGCUGGAUGAAGGUGGCUAAUGAAGUUGUCACGUGUGUCUUCCCCUCUGAAGCUGAGAAACACAUCAUGCUUUGUUAGAGAAGUGGACACGGGGAAUGAUGAAGAACUUCCUGUUUAAUUUCUUCGCCCCUGUUUAAUCUGUAAUCAAUAUAUGCUUCAAUGUUCUUCCUCUGCAGCGCUGCAUAAAGGUGACUAAUGAAGUUGUCACGUGUGUCUUCCCCUCUGAAGCUGAGAAACACAUCAUGCUUGGUUAGAGAAGCAGACAUGGCCAAUGAUGAAGGGUUUCAAUUUUCUCUGCAACUCUCAGAUCCCUUUGUUUGUAAGCAACUUGCAUAUAUUCUAUUUCUAUCACAAAUCAACUUUUGGAAAAGCCUUCAAUUCAAAAUAUGCUUCACAGCUUUAUAUUAACGUGCCUAGCUUUAUACCAUUCUUACGCAUUGGUAAAGAUUCUUCAAUAUCUUUACUCAAUUUGUUUCUUCAAUACCUUUUACACAUUCUUACGCAUUGGUAAAGAUUCUUCAAUAUCUUUACUCAAUUUGUUUCUUCAAUACCUUUUACAUAUAAAGAAUCGGAUUUGUUUAAUAUAUUUUAGAAAAUAACCAGUAAACAGAAAACUAGGUUAAUAUGACUAAAUGAAUAAAGAUAGUACUCAUAAAAAAUAUUUUAGAUUACAAGUGGUAUAACUAAAAUAAAAUAUUUUAUUUUUAAAAUAAAAUUUAUAAAUAAAUAAAAAAAUAUAAUUGUUUAGUUUUCGGUGUAAAACAAUAUUCAUUUUUAUAAAAAAAAAUCUUUUCUCUUUUAUUUUAUUUUUAUAUUUCUAAUUAGAGUAUUCUUGAGUUUGACAAUAGAAUCCUUUCUUUGGACUUUUGGAAUUAAAUAAAGAUGUUAAUUGAAAAAAAAAAUUGAAAUAGAAACUAAUUUAGAAACCAAAUUUCUUUUUAGUUUCUAAAAUGGUCUCUAAUUUAGUUACUAUUGCAACUAAUUGUUUUGGUUUCUAGAAAUUGGUUUCUAUUUCAUGAUUUUCUUGUAGUGUAUACUGAAGGUGUGCACCCCUAUGAAAUGUUUUUAUUUCUAGUUGAUGUGUGAUUUCCAAUAAUUAUAUAAAUUGAUUGUUAUAUGCAGUGUGAAGUUUAACCUUGAUUUUUACUUGAAAAAAUGGAUUUUAAUAUGAGGUAUGCAUGCUCUCAUACUCAAAUUCAAUAAGCGGAAUUUUCACAUGUCAAUAGAAUUUGAACCUGCAUAGUUUUGGGCACUCUCCACCUCAAAUUCGCUCAAUGUUUUUUCCUGCGUUUAAGCGAAAUUACAUGCAGAUUUUGGAGUACUUUCGGGCUUAAAAUUGCUCAAAGAAAUUUCCCUAUGGCAAGCAAAUUUAAGCUACAAUUGUUUGGGUGUUCUUUGCCUCAAAUUCGUUGCCUCAAAUUCGUUCAGCGAAGAUUUCUCUGGGCUUAAGCCCCAACUUCAUGGGCUCGAGCCAUUUUGACAACAUUUGUCAUCUUUGCUUAGAUAUCUUUUGGUUUGUUUUCUAUAGGUCAUGAAAUUGAAUUAAAUCUUUUGAAAUUUAACAUGUGUUUAAAAUAAGUAAAUCUAACAUUUAUAAUCAUGCAACAUGUGUUUAAUUUAUAAAAAAAAUAUAAAACAAAUACUCAUUAUAUAUUCAAUUGAUAUGUAAAAUUUUAAAUAUUAUGUGAUUAUUGUUGAUAUUUUGUAACGGUUUUAAAAAUAUAAACUUCUAUAUGAUUGAAUGAUAUAUUAUCGAUACAUAGUAAUUUCAAGUAAGGAAAUACUUUGUUAAGGAUAGUUAGGAUGUGUCUUGAUUAGUAAUACAUUUAGAAUAAGAUAUUUGACUCUAUUCACAUAUUAAGGUGGUGACAGUCAAAUGAGAUUUAUAUGAUUUGAUCUACAAUAUAAAAAAUCAUAAUCUAACAUGCCAUAUGAAUUAACCUUGUCAUAUUAGGUGAUUCUAUUAUGAUAUUCUUAUUCGCAUAGAUGUGUGAAUUUCACAAUGGGGUAUUAUAACAUGUGCAAAUUUUUUAGUCUAAAUCAAUGUACGAUUCUUUCAGAAAUAGGGUCAAGUGUACAUGUGGAUCUAAUUAGAUUUUUGACAUGAGUAAUAUGGAACACAAGUCAUUUAGAGACACUUAAUUGUUUAAUAUAUUAGGAAUGAAUGAAGUGUGAUUAUUCAUAUGAUUAUGAUUGAAUGAUUCAAAUAUAAAUUUUAAAAAUCAUUAACUUAGCCUAAUUUCUUGUUAGUAUCAUUUUUUUGUUAGUAUCGUUUUUUUUUUAGAUUUGUUAUGAUCGUGAGUUACAUGUGAACAUAUGAUGUUGUAUGUUAUAGGCCUCAAAAUUGAAAAUGAGAGAGUUUUUUCUUUUAAUUCUUUUGAUGUUUUAUUUUGAUGUAUAUAUUUGAUUAUGAUAUAAUAAUAUUACAAUGUAAAUGUUAUUUAUAUACUAUCACAUGGUAAAUUAAAAUUUAAUAAGGUAGUUAAGGAUGUUAUAAUUAUUCUUUUAAUUUAUUUUAUUUCACUGUAUAUUUAGGUGUAUUACGUAAAAUGUAUAGUUAAAAAAAAUAAUGUUAUUUUGAAAUUUAAGCUUUUGUUAAAAUUAUACCAUUUGAAAAGGAACACAGAACAAUCUUGACAAUUAUACUGACUUAGUACUUAUUUUAAUUUAUUAUAUUCAUGAGUAUUAUUUUUUUCUUAAACAUAAAUAUUGGAUAAAAAAUAUAAAUAACAUUUAUUUAUUUCAAAUUUAAAAAUCUUUAAAAUAAAUAUAAAUAAUAUUUUUAAUCAAGAUGUGUUUUUUAACAAUUUUUUUUAAUUUAAAAAUAAUUAAUUCGGACGAUGAUUAAAGAAAUAUUAACAAAUUAUUUCUGCGAUUAUAAUAAACCUUCAAUAAUUUUUGCACUUUCUAGCAUAUAGAAUAUGGAUCCUUUUGUGAUUUUUCUUUUCUAAAGUACAAUUGAUAUUUUAAAUGUUUUUCUAUUUAAUUUUCCUUUCUUAAUGCACAUAAAAAUUUCAGUGCACAAUUAUUACUCACCUUAAUUCAAAAUGGAAAUUAAAAUUCAAGAACCCUACUUAUAUAUUAAUAUUCAACGAUUUAAAAUAUUAGUAUGCAAAUUAAUCUUUCUUAAUAAUAUUUGUAACAAUUUUUAAUAAUUCAAUGUGAAAUAUGUAAUAAUUACUUUUCUAUGAUUCAGAGGGAAAAUUAUUCCAACUAGACUUUUACAAAUAUAUUUCAAGUGGUAAUAUGAUUUUAAACAAAAAUAGUAUUCUCCACAAAAAUAAAUAGUUACUGUUCCUAAUUAAACAAGUCACAUUCUUGAACAAAAUAUCAAAUAACAAGGAAUUAGACUAUGAAAUGAUGACCAAUUAUAUUAAACAACAUAACAUACAUUUCUCAAUGUACACAAGGUAUAAAUAAUACAAUAUCAUCCAAAACCUGUGUUCACUAUGUAAAUAAACCAUUUUUUUUGCCAUUACCUCUUUCAUGAUGAUGAUUUGUUUACUAGGGAUUGCAAUGAUAGGUCAUGAUCAAAACUUAGGCCUAAGACUAAAAAUAGAAUGAAAUGAGCAUGAAAAUAAAGAUAACUUUUGAGUGAGACACAUUCUUCCUUACAAGCAGCAAGUUCUUCCAGGUUAUCUUCUCUUCCUUCAACCGUAGCUGUGCAACCGCCUGUUGUUCAUUGCCACCAAUAUCUCUAGUGCCAAAACUAUGUUUUCCAAAAUUAGAGUUAUAUGGCUUUAUCUGUGAAGUCUUACCAGCCAUAAUGUUUUAUUUUACUGUUUUGUUGUAAUCAUGCCAAUAGAUAAAUCGUGGAUUUGUAAACCACGAAACACCAUUGAGUAUGCAAAUGGGUUGAAUGUGUUUUUGGAUAUUGCAUUUCAACAUGCUAAUGGUCCUGUAAUUAAGUGUCCAUGUGCAAAGUGUGGUUUCAAAAAGUGACAAACAAGGGAUGUAAUCCAAGAACACUUAACAUUUACAACUUUCCCUCAGAACUACAAAACUUGGUAUUUGCACGGUGAAAGACCAAGUGUAAUUGAGCCUAUGGUCACUACAAGUGUGCAUGUCAUUGAAGAUUUAUUUGAAUCUCAAAAUACAAUGGAAGACAUGUUGAAUGAUGCAUUCGAGUUUGCGGGACAUGAUGAGGAUACUGAAGUUGAUGGUUUGCAAACUAAUAUGGUGGGUGAUGAAGGAAUAUGAACUUUGAUGAAUUGAUGAGGGACAAUAAUGAACCCUUAUAUGAAGGUUGUACAAAGCAUUCGAAGUUAUCAUUCAUGUUGAAGUUGUACCAUAUCAAAUGCAUGAGUAGAAUGAGUGACAAAGCAAUGACCAUGAUUCUAGACUUGCUAAUGAACACAUUUGAACAUGCUAAGUUUCCUAACUUGUUUUAUGAGGCGAAGACUGUGAUUACCAAACUUGGACUUAAUUAUGUCAAAAUACCAGCUUGCCCAAAAGACUGAAUGCUAUAUUGGGGCGAAGACAAUGAAGGCUUAGAAGAAUGUAAACGGUUCAAAACGUCUAAGUGCAAAAAAAAAAAAAGAUAAGAAGCAAUUGCAUUACUUUCCAUUAAAACUGUGAUUGCAAAGAUUGUUUAUGAGUUCUAAGAUGAUUGAGUCUAUGACAAGGCAUGCAUCAAAGGAUAAUCAAGAUGGAUUGAUGAGGCAUCCUAGAGAUUCUGAGGCUUGCAAAUCAUUUUAUUGCAUCCAGAAUUUGUAAAUGACCAUUGAAAUGUACGAUUAGACUUAGCUGCUUAUGGCUUUAAUCCUUAUGAAAACAUGAGUAAAAACCAUAGUAUAUGACGAGUGGUUAUCAUCCCAACAAUCACCCUCCUUGGGAGUUAUGAAGCAAACAUCUUUUAUCCUCUACAUGAUAAUUUCUGGAAAACAAAUGGUAGAAAAUGACAUUGAUGUUUAUUUAAAACCACUUAUAAGCAAAUUGAAGGAGUUAAUAGUAUGAUCAUGUAAUUAUUAUUUAUAUACUAAAUAUUACGACAUAUAGUAAUUUAAAAUUUGAUAAGGUAGAUGAGGAUAUUAAAAUAUCUCUUUUAAUUUAUUUUAUUUUAUUGUAUAUUUAGGUGUAUUAUGUAAAAUAUAUAAUUAAAAAAAAUAAUGUUAUUUUAAAAUUUAAAGAAUCACGUAUAGAAAGAAACAUAUAACAAUCUUGACAAUUAUAUUCUGACUUAGAGAUACUUAUCUUAAUUUAUUAUAUUCAUGAGUAUUAUUUUUUUCUUAAACAUAGAUAUUGGAUAAAAAAUAUUAAUAAUAUUUAUUAUUUAAAUUUUAGAAAUAUUUAAAAUUAAAAUUAAAAUUAAAUAAUAUUUUUAAUUAAAAUAUGAAAAAAAUUCCUUAACAAUUUUUUUAAUUUCAAAAUAAUUAAUUCAGAGGAUGAUUGAAAAAAUAUUAACAAAUCAUUUCUGCGUUUAUAAUAAACCUUCAAUAAUAUUUGUACUUUCUAUCAUAUAGAAUACUUAAUGGAUCCUUUUGUGAUUUUUCUUUUCUAAAGUACAGUUGAUAUUUUAAAUGUUUUUCUAUUUAAUUUUCAUUUCUCAAUGACAAAUAAAAUGGUUCAGUGCACAAUUAAUUAUUCUCACCUUAGAUUUCAUUCAUCUCAUUCCAUUUCCACACUCAAAUCAUUCUCACAUUUUUUUCUACCUAUUUCACAAAGUUUUUGUUAAAAUAUGGAAAUUAAAGUUCAAGAACCCUACUUAUAUUUCAUAUUCAACAAUUUAAAAUAUUAAUAUGCAAAUUAAUAUUUCUUAAUAAUGUUAUUUUUAUGUAAAAAUUAAAAUGUAGUUUAGUCAUUCAUACUUAGAUGGAUAAAAAUGGUUUUAGAAAGAAAAAAAUAUGCAUUUUUUUGAAAGGUUAUCUAAACUCUAAACUCAUUGAUGAAUUAAUAAUAAUAAAUAAUAUGGAAUUCUAUACGAAUAGCAUAUAAAUGUUUUCUUGUUGAAACUGAUAAUUAAUUCAGUCUAGGGACAAUUAUCGCGGUAUUUGUUCUUUUAUUUUUAAUGUUUAAACAAUUAUAAAAUUCUGUUUUUAGAUAUUAAAAUGAUAGUUUUCAUUUACAGAUUAAAAUAUUACUUGUUUCUUUUAAGAUUUUUUGUAUUAUAAUUAUUUGUUGUCUGAAUUGUUUUGAUUUAACAUGUUGUUUUCUUGGGCUAUGAUAUUGUGAGGUUUUAUUACAUGCAGGUACGUGAAUAUUUUUUUUAUCCUAGUUGUAUAAAUCAGGAAAAUUGUUUUUCACAUUAUAAUAACCGUUUAACAACUCUAAAUAAUAAUAAAAUAUUAACUCAUAUUGUUUAAUUAAAGUAUAAAUUAAAUUAUUAAAUAAAAAAGUAGUAAAACUGGUUGCAGGAUGGGAAUAUGAUUAUUUUUAACUGCUAGCUCCUGAUUAUUCUUUUCUAAUAAAAAAAACACCAAUAGCAACAAAACAAGUUUUGACACACGUAGGUUUGGCAAUUGUUUUAAUAGCUGAAAAUAGUACAACAAUUUUUAAUUACCACAAACUGCAUCUUAAAUCAUAAAAAAUUAGCAUUUUGUUAGUUCAUAUAUAAUAAAAUUUCCAUAAAACAGCCAAUUGUAUUAAUUAUUAAUAAUGUAUUUACAAUUUUUUUAGAUAAUUUUUUUACUAUAAAGACAUUUAUUUGAGAUUGAAAUUGUAAUUAACACUUUUUGGUCAAAGAAUAAUAUAUUUCACUUGAUUUUUUGUAUUAAAUAUUUUGUAUAGCGCUGAGACAAAAAAAAAUCUCAUAUAAAUCCCUAUGUGCUACAAGUACAAUAUAACAUCCUUAAUGUAAGCAAUAAAAAUGAUGAAUACUCAAAGUCGUGUAAUUACGCAAAAGAAUCAAGUGAUUUUUAAAAGAACUCACAUGAUCAGUUUAAAUUUUGACGAUAAAAUACAUUAAUUAUAUAUAUUUAUUCAAAAUUUCAAUUAUAUUAUGCAUUAAUGGUUUUAUGCUUUUAGAGGAAUCAGAGAAACUUAGAAAAGCUCCUAAAAACUAAUGUAACCCUAUGAAUAGAAGAGAGCUAAAAGAAAGAGAAAAUGGAAGUGAGAAAAGAUGAUAAUUAAUAAACACGCUCUCUUCAUAACAUAGAGUCUUUAAACCUAUAUUCCCUCAAACAAUUAUAAAGAAUUAACAAUCACACUUUUAUAAGUCAUCACCCACAUGAAACAAAACAAGGUGCCUCAAUAUGAAUAAACCAAGAUUAAUAAGAAAUAUGAGGUUUCACUAACCAAGCUCAGAAUUUUCUGCUUUUAUAGCUCCAUGCACAAACCUAAUACAAUGAUAUGAUAUUCACUGCAAAUGCAACCCAAAUAUGCUAAAGAAGUUAAUGAAACCCAAAUAUAAAGAAUUUGAAGAGAAUGCAACUCUGGGACAACAGAGCACACCAUCUCAUGCUGAACAGAAACAUCAAACUAUAUCUAACAAUAACUAUACCUAUGUUUGCUUUGGGUCUGUUUUUAGUUUCAAUGUUACUCUUUAUCUGCAGGUUGGGAACAUAUCUUGAUGAAAUAUAGAAACAUUUUUAUUCAUAAUAUAUAUAAGGAUUACACAUUCAUAAUUAUUUCUUUCUGUCGUAGCAUUGUCUACCUCAAAUCACUGCAACUUUCUGUUGUUGGUAUUUGCAUAUCACGAUGGUUAUUGAGAAAUUUAGGAGUUUGCUGUUGUGUACCAGAAGUAAAAUAGAAGGUUCAUUUUUUGGUCAUCAUCAAUUAUUAAUGUAAAUAGAUAUAGGUGAAGGAGAUCAGUAUUAUGCAUUGUAUCAUGGACCAUUAGAAGACUAGGGUCACCAAUUGGAGGCAUUGGUAACUUUGGCUAGUAAAACUAAAACCAAAGUCCAUUUUUACAAAGCCUUGGUCUAAUUCACCUUAUAGCUGUACUUUUUCCUCCAUUUUAAUAAUAUUAAGUUUUCAUUUUCUAUGCAUAAUCUUGGGUAAUUUUCUUUUUAUAUCAAUGCUUGAAGUGUCAAAUUGUUACAAGCUGGAUUAUUAAGAAAGAAAAGAGUGCAUUCUGGAUGCUCGAAAGGGAGUGUUUCCUAGAAAAAAAAUGUGAUUUCAGGGUGUCCAGGCUCAGGUAGCAAUGGUAGGAGUUCCACAUUGAAAUGGAUGAACUACUUGAUUUAGUACUUUGGGACUCUCUCACCUAAUGGACUAGUAUUUUGGGUUAGCUUCUCUCCCCUUAAUGCUUAAGUCCUAAAAAACAGUUUUUCUGUUUCUAUUUAUCUUUUAGGGUGUGAUUAGGACCAUGAAGCAGUGGGUGUUUUUUCCAUUAAUGAACUUUGCCACUGCCACAGAUCACCUAGGUUAACCUAAUUAAGUCUUCUGAAUUGUAUUUUGUAAUUAAUUCUUGUAAAACAUGGAGUGUAAAAUUCAUGUACAUUUUUCUUUUCCUCUUUUGAUUUGGAUGUCAAACUAGCAACUUCAUGUUUUGUCUGGUUGGUCUAUCACAUUUAUGUAGGUUGUAAUCUAUUUUGCCUAAUGCAUCAGUUGCAGAUAGGUACUAAAUUAUCUUAGUUCGGAUACACCUUGCCAAUUAGAUUAAGAUCAAGAAUUUAAAGUGAAUGGUUCACUUCUGAGUUCUUAAAUGAGAUAAAAUGUUCAGAGAUACUAAAUCAUCGCCUUCAUUUGAAAAUUGGCGUGCCUAUUAUGCUUUUGAGAAAUAUUGAUCAAACCAACGGUCUUUGUAAUGGAACAAGGUUGCAAGUUAUUGAUUUGAAGAAAAUGUUAUUUGUGCAAUAGUUCUAACAGGAACAAAUAUUGGUGAUAAAAUCUUCAUUUCAAGAAUGAAUUUGAUCCCUUUAGAUGUAGGUAUGCCAUUCAAAUUCCAGAGAAGACAAUUUCCAAUAGCUUUAUGUUUUGCAAUGACAAUUAAGAAAAGCCAAGGUCAAUUAUUGACCAAAGUUGGUUUAUAUUUUUCACAUCCAAUUUUCACACAUCGAUAGUUGUAUGUAGCUAUUUAUAGAGUUCGAAAGAAAAAAGAUUUAAAAAUUCUAACUCUUGAUGAAGAUGGAAUGCAACAAACAAGAAAAAGAAAAUGUUUACACUGAAAUUUUUGACAAUAUUUGAAAACAAUAGAAUUAUAUGAUAAACUUGGAAUGGCUAAUUCUCCCUGCAACCAAUAUUUUUGAACCUGCAACUUUUAAAUUUUUGAAAAUGCUCUUUAUUCCAGAAAUGAAAAUAAUACAUUACAAAAAAAAUAGAUCCAAAAAAGAUUAUUGUGUUUUGGUAAUAAAAAUCGGAAAACAAAAAUCAAAAGCCCAUUAUGAAUAAGAAAAUUCGUAAUACAAAAAAUUUGGUCUUAAAAACAAAAUCUGAAAACAUAUUCCAGAAAGAAAAUCCGAAAUGUAUUUUUAUAUAUAACCCAUUUUUUCAAGGGAGUUUCGUCUUUUCUAUUGUAAAAGGGGUUGGAAUUUGCUCCCUUGGAAUUAUAGUUUCUUAUGUGUGAUGUAGUAACAGUUGCCUUAUUUAAAAUGUUACUAAAUAACAUAUAAUUUAUAUCUGUUAUUUUUAUUCUGUUAUGACUUUAUAUAUUUGUCACAACAUGAAUGAGGCACAAACCCAUCUCAUGUUAACGAAGUUGAGAAUUUUCUGAUUUUACAGGUCCAUGCAAAAAUCUAAUAUAAUGAUAUGAUAUUCAAUAUCAAGAGGUACUUGUCGUAAAACGGGGAAUAUGAGAGACUCCAUAGAAUGAAGAAAAAGUAUAAAGAGGAUUUACAAAUUAACCUUUCAAAUGCAGCUCCUCAGAAUUUCAUAAUGCCUUCACUGCAAAUGCAACCCAAAUAUGCUAAAGAAGUUAAUCAAACAAUACAUGAGGAGUUUCAAGAAAAUGCAACUCUGGAACAACAGAGCAACCCAUCUCAUGCUGAACAGAAACAUCAAACUAUAUCUAACUUAGAAAUCUUUGUCAACAAUUGAACGAACCCACUCCUUAAAUACCAUUGAAAAUGUAAAUAAAACAAAAUAAAUUAAAAACGAGAAAUUCAUAAUAAAAAUUAAACGUGUUGAACCCUGUAAUUUAGAAGUAUUAACGAUAAGGCAGUUUAGAUCCUCACCAAUGAAAGAGACUAGCUGACUAGGUAGCUUUCGGCCUUCCUCUUCCUAUCUUCCCUUGUUUCUCUUGAAGACUCUGCAAUAUUGCUUCCAUUGGAUUGUUCAAAGUCAACAGCACCACCAUAUUUAUCAUCUUUCUUUUUCGUAUAAAGAGGGCAUAUGCCGCAUUCCUUUAUUGUGAUACCUGAUUUCAACCGAAAGUGAUAAUCACACGGACUGAUAAGUGAAGCUGCGAGCAUCACAGAUUCUAAGGCUCAUGCCGCUCGCCCUUAGGAACUCCAAGUUAAAUUUCCACACGAAUGUGUGAUCUUGAUCAACACAUCUCUCUUCACCAUUCGAAAUAGCUGUUUAACACAUCUAUCAUCGCUGCAGAAACUUAAAUCUUCAUUUAUAGUCACUGAAUGUCCCUUCCCACGAAAAUGGAACCAACCAGGAACUGCAGUCCCUGGAAAACAGAAGAACACAGACCUAUAUCUAUCGUCGGUCAUCCUAAGCCUUGCAUCCUCCUCAAUGUUAGCACGACCACCUGAAUCCAGUUGCUGAGCAUUGGUGAAAUGAAAUUUGAAUACACCCUCUUUGGAAUUUGAGAGGUUUCGAACAAGAGAAUUUGGCAUCACUCUUCUAAUGGAUGGGCAAUCCAAUGCCACGAGUUGCUUUAGAAAUGGUGGAAUCUGUGGGAUGCAUUCAAGCUUUUUGCAGUCGCUUAAAUCAAGCGAUUUCAAGCUUGAAAGAUGAGCAAUGCUCUCAGGAAGGUUCACGAUUCCGCUAUCACGCAGUGAUAGUUCCAUUAAUAACGUCAAACGACCAAUGUGUCUUGGGAUUUCUGUUAAUUUGGAGCACCCCGAACAAUUUAGAGAGAAGCUUCAGAUUAACAAUGGAGUUUGAAAGUGACUCGAUAUCAGUGUAUUUCUGAAGCUCCAAGGAUCGAAGAUUAACGAAAUUGCAAAAUGAGGAAGGCAACUGCGCAAACUCAGUUGUUGAAGCCCUACCAAACGGCACAAGGAUGAAGGUAGUGCCUGUAUGGCUGUGGCGUCUAAGAUGAGCACCGCUAGAUCUUCCAACGUGUCCUGAAUCUGGGGUAAAUUUUCCAAUUUUGAGCAACCACGGAGAGAAAGUUGCUUUAGGAAUUUCAUAUCAGAAAGGUCAAAUGGAAAGAUUGUAAGGGAAGAACAGUAAGAGAGAUCUAAAUGACAGAGCUUCUUGCAACUAAAGUGUAAGGGCACACCUUUCAUGAAUUUUGUCAACACUUCUAAGUAUAUAGUAUUAUUAGCCACUUCUUCUUCUUCAUUAUAUCUGUCAAAAGUAAUUGAGGAAGUUGGGAAAAUAUGACCACUGUAUGCACGAGGUUCACCACGCCGUCCUGCACCAUGCCGUUCUGAGAAAUUUAUCUCUUUGAUCAUAUCCGGUUUCUGGCGAUGGAAUCUUGAGAAAGUUUGACGUUGACGCUCCACGCUCCAGUAUCACAUGAGGGAAUCUUGAGAAAUUUCCACGUUGAUGCCCCAGUUUCUGAUGUGGGUAUCUUGUGACGCUCCAGUUUCACAUGACGAAAUCUGGGUUCACUGGUUGAAAACAUAUUAAGCUUCCCACAACAGGAAAUAUUAAUCCAUCCUUGUAAUGUGGAUAAAAUGUUGCUGGGAAUAUUUAUACUAUUCAGAUCAUAACAAUUAUCUAAACAUAAAUAACUGAGCUUGCUGAGUAAUAUCGAAGAGUGAACUUUAAUCAACUUUCCACAAUAACUCAGAAUUAUUUCUUCAAUAUUUGGUAAGAGAGAAAAGUCUGGUAUUCUAGUAAGUUUCCGAGAACCACUCAGGUCAAGCCUUUUCAAGUUUGGUAAAUUCUGCCACAAAUAGUAAAUGAAUCAGGUAACAAAUAAAAACCACUGUUAAAAAAAUCACACUCUGAACUAACAAAACUGUGGCUAUUCACUAUCAACAAUCCCUCUCAAAUACACUUCUACUAAUACAUUAACAACAAUAUCAUUAUAUUAACCAUAAAAUAUUACAUUUCUUCAGUUAAUACGUAGGACAAUAUAAUAAUCAGGUCACUCAGCUAAUGAAAAAAAUUAAACAACAUGAACUCAAUUAAAUAAUAUAAAACUUUUGAGUACUAGAUAAAAUAAGAAAAUUAAUAAAAAUUCAAUUUGAAAAUAAUCAAAUUUAUAAGAUACUUAAAACUUAAUUAAACCUACAAAUUUUCAUUAUAUGGAGUUAAAUACUAUAAAUAUUUACCACAUAAGUAGAAUGUUUAAAUAUAUAUUUCUUCACGUUGGAAGUUUUUUUCCUCUAUCUUAUAAGUUUUCUUUGUUUCUUUAAUAUUUUUUAAGCCAAUGUGAUUUUUUUAAUAUAAAAUAUUAUUAAAGAUAAAAUAUGAAGAUAGGGUAAUUAAAUAUAAUUUUUUAUUUUUUAGAAAUGAUGAAAAUUAUAAUUAAAUUAACUAAAUUAUAUAAAAUUCUAUUUCAUUUACAUAACUACUUUUCAUAUUAAAAAAACUAUAUAAGAUCUUGAAACUAUAAUUAAUAUUUCUACUCAUUUUUCGUUUUUGUUGGUGAAAUCUUGAUUUUGGGAUAGUAUUAGUGAGAUAUUGUUUGGAGUUAAAAACAAGAAAUUCUUUUGCAUAAUCAAUUUGAACAGUUUUGAUUUUGAAACCAGAUUUUCAGAGAAGAGUUUAAAGCGUUCAAAUGCAGCAAGAGCUUGAGAUUUAGCAUGCUAGAGAUAAAUUCAUGUAUAUUUUAAAUAUGCAUUAGGAAAAGAGAUAUCGUAUGAUGCAACAUUAUUAGCACAAACAACAAACAGCAGAACGUCCCCAAAUAUCAAUAUAGAUAAAUUCUAAAAGGUGAUUAUCCACACUGUUUUAGAACAACUUUGAUUACAGAAAAACUAUAACGCCCAAGUCUAUUAUGCCACAAGUGAAAAGAAGUUUUUUCAUAUUUAAAAGAUGUGUAGUUAGCAGAAAAAACAGAGGAUCAGAGAUCAAGAAAGACAGAGAGAUCAUCUUUAAGUGUGCCUUGUAGAAGAAUCUGUUUAGUUACUUAGUCUUUAACAUAGCAAGAAUGAGGGUGAAAUUCAAAAAACACAUUGUUGUUACGAGCAAACUUUGAAACACUAAGCAAAUUCUUAGUAUAAUGAGAAACAUGUAAAAGAUCAAGGAGAGAGAAGGAAGUACAAGAGGUAGACGACACACAGGAAGCAGAACCAAUGUGGGAGAUUUUUAUACCUGCACCAUUACCAAGUUUAACGUUCGCAAUGCCAUGAUAGAUUUGUUGAUCAUUGAACAGAGUAUGGUCGUUUGUUAUAUGGUGAGAGACACCGCUAUCUGGGUACCAUAAUGGAUCUUCUAAAGAUGAUGGUGGACCAAGAAGAGAGUAAGAAGAGUCAUCACGUGGAGGUGGAGAGAAAUGAGAUGUGUUUGCAGAGGAGGAUGGUGGUGUAGUACGAUCAAACCAGUGCCAACAAUGAAGAGCAGUGUGUCCAAGUUUGGAGCAUAUUUGACAGCGAACAGGGUUGCGUUUCCAUGAUGAAGACGUAGUGGAGUUCCAAGAAGAGUAUUGGGAAGGUCGGGGUUUGCCGCGGUUGAACUGAUUCUAGUUAGAUGUGGGAUUGUAACCACGACCACCACAGGAGGAGUUGGAAAAGGGGAGGUGGAGAGAAAUGAGAUGUGUUUGCAGAGGAGGAUGGUGGUGUAGUACGAUCAAACCAGUGCCAACAACAAUGAAGAGCAGUGUGUCCAAGUUUGGAGCAUAUUUGAGAGCGAACAGGGUUGCGUUUCCAUGAUUACGACAGUAAUAAAUGUAUUAUAUUCUUCAGAUAGCCUUCAAGGAUGAUGUCAAUAUGAUCAGUGGAAACAGGGGCAUCAAUAGCGGCAAGCAUGUUGACGGCGUUCUUGAUAUCAUGGAGAUAGGAGGAGAUGGAUCUGUGAUGACCUGAUUUUGUUGUUGGUACCAUUAGAGACUUGGGGACUGUCAUCAGUGGUGGAAGAAGUGGUUCUUGAUGGAACACUAGUGUCGUCAAGAAAAUGACCCAGUUUGAGCCCGCAAAUGGAGGCAAGGACUUGAUGUUUCCAGAGAAGAUAGUUAUCUUCAUCUAGUUUAAGAGUGAUGGGUGUUGUGAACUGUUGAACGGAAGGCAUGACCAGAGGUAACGGGCAAGAAGAAGAUGCAAAAGAAGAUGAAGAGAUAUGAGUGCAGUGCAUUAGAAUAGAGAGAGAAAGGAGAAAGAUAUUAUCUUAGUAUAUGUGCUAAAGGUAUAUAAGGAGUGCAGAACUGGAAACACUUACAAAGUUGUCGUUACACAGUUAUAGUAUGGUUAACAAUGUAUAAUACAGAAAACAUGCUUGUGUACUUUAUUUUUAUCUUUGAAAGUUUAGAACACAGAGGAACAUAGAUAGCUAGAAAAACCUGAUCUCCUUCCCAGAGUUGUUCAAGAUGGCAGCCUGGCAUUUCCAGGGUCACAGUCUGGCAUUUCCAGGGUCACUAGAUUUUGUGGGCAAAAGUUUGGAGGCCAGAAUCUUUGAGGGAAACCGUUCCAAUAAAGAAACUUUAGAGUGUCUGGCAGACCUACAAGAGAUGAUUCAAGAGACACAUUUGAUAUGAAUAUAGGCAUGUAGACCAUAAGCAUCAUAAGAUUGUCCAUCUUUUCGAAACUUUGUGCAUGUACUACAGCAUCUUUUACUUUGUUCGUAUGUAGUAAUAUACACUGUAUUGCAUCUGACCCCUGAAAGUAAAUCAAUUUAAUUAGGAGAAAAAAAACAUGAAAUGUUGCAUUGCAGGAUGUUUAAUGACAUCUCAGUGGUUUGCAAUUUUUUACAAAGUAAAUCCAUUCUCAAUUGAGUAACGACAUAAUACCUUGUUCUUUCUUAAAACCUCUCAAAUUUCCUCAGCAUUAAACAAUCGGCUGCGUUUUCCAGGAUGCUGAGGACACUCUUUACGAACAAUUUCUUGACUCAUUUCUNNNNNNNNNNNNNNNNNNNNNNNNNNNNNNNNNNNNNNNNNNNNNNNNNNNNNNNNNNNNNNNNNNNNNNNNNNNNNNNNNNNNNNNNNNNNNNNNNNNNGAUCCAUCUUUUUCUGCUGCUACCAUGUCGAACUCCCUUCAAAUCAAUACAAUGUCUUCACCAUCAAUCAGCCAAGUGAUUAAUGUUAAACUCACACAAGAAAAUUAUUUAUUGUGGUCUGCUCAAAUCCUUCCCUAUUUACGUAGUCAGGGGCUGGUUGGGUUUGUGGAUGGAUCCAUGCCACCACCAAACCAAACGAUUACGGUUGAGUCAAGUGAAGAAACAGGGAGCCGCAAAAUCCUGAAUUCACAGUCUGGUACCCCCAGGACCAGCUGGUACUCAGUCUCAUCAACUCAUCGGUUACCGAGGAAGUUCUCAGCACGGUGGUCGGAAUCACCACUGCACGAGAAGCCUGGGAUAUGCUGGAGCGGCAAUUUGCCUCCACAUCUCGAGCACGAGCAAUGCAGAAUCAUAUGGAACUCUCCACGAUCCAAAAGAAGGACAUGACAAUUGCUGACUAUUUUCGUAAAGUAAAACGUCUCGGAGACACUCUGGCUGCCAUUGGCAAGCGAGUAGAGGAUGAAGAACUCAUCGCCUACAUGCUGCAAGGACUUGGUCUAGAUUAUGAUCCUCUUGUCACAAGCAUUACAACUAGAACAGAUGUUUACACUGUCAGCGAUGUGUAUGCUCAUAUGCUGAGCUACGAGAUGCGUCAUCUGCGUAAUGGUACUCUUGAGCAAUUUCCUUUUGCUAACAAUGUCAACAGCAUGUCUAAUCGAGGAGGAACUAAUGGACGUCGUGGUGGUCGUGGUCGUCAAUCAAAUGGUGGUCGAGGACAAACAUGGCACACUAGAAACAAUUCUGGACGUCAGCCAUCAAAGGCACAAAGUAACUCAGACAAAGUCUGUCAGAUUUGUGGUAAGCCAAACCAUGAUGCUUUGCAAUGUUGGCACAGAUUUGAUCAGGCAUAUUAAGCCGAAGACAAUCUUAAACAAGCAGUUGUGGCCACAAGUGGAUAUACUGGUGAUGCAAACUGGUACGUAGAUACUGGAGCCACAGAUCACAUCACCAACGAGUUAGAAAGACUUACCACCAACGAACAUUACAAUGGCACUGAUCAGAUUCAAGUUGCAAAUGGCUCAGGUUUUUCUAUCUCUCAUAUUGGGAACUCAUUAAUUUCUGGUUCAUCUAGAUCUCUUGUACUGAAACAUAUCCUAUAUGCUCCUAAAAUCAAUAAACAUCUGAUUUCAGUACAAAGACUAGCAUCUGAUAAUAAUGCCUUUGUGGAAUUUCACCCACACUGUUUUUUUGUUAAGGACCGAGCCACGAAGGAACUUCUGCUCACAAGUAGAUGUAAGAAUGGCCUCUACACUUUACCAAAUAACUCCAGCAAAGCAUUCCCGACAGCCAAACUUUCGAAAGAACAAUGGCAUAGAAGACUUGGGCAUCCUGCUUUCCCAGUCACAAUUAGAAUCUUGAAAAAUAAUAACUUAGCUCUAGAUACUAGAGUUUCUUCUUCCUUAAUUUGCCAUGCUUGUCAACUAGAAAAGCACAUCAAUUACCCUUUGUUUCUUCUCAACAUGUAUCUACAGCACCUCUUCAAUUGAUUCAUACUGAUGUAUGGGGUCCAGCCAUUGUCUUAGUGAAUAAUUCUAAAUAUUAUGUUUCAUUUGUUGAUGAUUUUAGCAGAUAUGUUUGGAUUUAUUUUUUGAAAUACAAGUCUGAUGUUGAGUCUGUGUUUCAUCAGUUUCAAAAACAUGUUGAAACCAUGCUAAACACCAAAAUUCGCUCUGUCCAGUCAGAUUGGGGGGGUGAAUACCAUCGUUUGCACCAAUAUUUCAAAACAACUGGAAUUGAGCAUCGUCUUUCUUGUCCUCACACACAUCAGCAAAAUGGGUUGGUAGAAAGAAAGCACAGACACAUUGUGGAAACUGGCCUUACUUUACUUGCCCAAGCUAACAUGCCUUUGUCCUAUUAGGAUGAAGCCUUCAAUACAGCUUGUUACCUUAUAAAUAGACUACCAUCUCGAAUCAUACAAGCAAGACACACCACUUCAUAAAUUAUUUGCAAAAAAUCCAGAUUACACCAUGCUUAAGGUGUUUGGCUGUGCUUGCUGGCCCAAUUUAAGGCCUUACAACACCAAGAAACUGAGUUUUCGAACCACUAAGUGUGUCUUCUUAGGCUAUAGUUCUUCUCAUAAGGGAUACAAGUGCUUAGAUAGAAGUACAAAACGAAUUUACAUCUCUAGAGAUGUAAUCUUUGAUGAAAAUGUGUUUCCUUUUGAAGAAUUAAAUUCUAAGUCAUCAAUCCAAACCAAAAAUUCACACCAGCCUGCUCUACUUCCAACCUUCGUUAAACCCGUUCCAUACACUGAAAAUGCUCUCACAAAUAUUGAACCAGUUGUUAAUGAUUCUCGUAUAAUUGAUGGUCAAUCUAAUGAUGUUGCUAAUAACAACUUGUCUGGUAUAAGCUUACAUCCUGCAGAUAAUACAAUAAGUCCAGAAAUUGUUGCAGAACAGGAAGCUGAGAACAGUCUGACCAAUUUCCAAGAACAGAUGUUCNNNNNNNNNNNNNNNNNNNNNNNNNNNNNNNNNNNNNNNNNNNNNNNNNNNNNNNNNNNNNNNNNNNNNNNNNNNNNNNNNNNNNNNNNNNNNNNNNNNNGAACAAGAUUGAAAAAUAACAUUGUCCAAGCAAAACAGUUCACUGAUGGUACUGUCAGAUAUUCAGAGACCUCAAGAAAGUUUACCGGUGCUGUCACUGUCAAAAAUCCGACCACAAUAAAUGUACUAAAAAAUGCUACUGAGACUGAUACAGUUACUGAACCUCAAAACCUGCAGGAAGCUCUACAAAGUCCAGGUUGGCAGGAAGCAAUGAAUAAUGAGCUCUCAGCAUUACAACACAAUGAGACUUGGGAUUUCGUUCCACCAAAACCUGGCAUAAAUCUCAUUGAUAGUCGAUGGGUGUAUAAAGUGAAAAGGAAAGCGGAUGAAUCAGUGGAGAGAUUGAAAGCAAGGUUGGUUGCUAAAGGGUUCAAGCAAAGAUUUGGCAUUGAUUACAUUGAUACCUUUAGCCCCGUGGUCAAGCCAUCAACAAUCAAAGUUAUUCUUUCACUAGCAGUAACCAAAGGCUGGAAUAUGAGACAAGUUGAUAUCCAAAAUGCAUUCUUGCAUGGAAUUUUGGAAGAGGAAGUGUACAUGCGACAACCAUCGGGAUUUCAAGACCCAUAUAAACCAAAGGAAUACAUAUGCAAACUCAAGAAAGCGCUUUAUGGCCUGAAACAGGCUCCAAAGGCUUGGCACUCAAGACUGACUGGAAAACUUAUGGAAUUAGGCUUUAGAGCUUCUGUAGCUGAUUCAUCUUUGUUUAUCCUCAAAAACAAAGAGGUAACCAUCUAUAUGCUCAUAUACGUUGAUGAUAUAAUUAUCGUGAGCUCCUCUGAUCAAGCCACCGAAAGGUUGAUUCAGAAGUUGAAAAUAGAUUUUGCUAUAAAAGACUUAGGUGGUCUUGAGUAUUUUCUGGGUAUUGAAGUCAAGAAGGCAAGAGAUGGCAUCACANNNNNNNNNNNNNNNNNNNNNNNNNNNNNNNNNNNNNNNNNNNNNNNNNNNNNNNNNNNNNNNNNNNNNNNNNNNNNNNNNNNNNNNNNNNNNNNNNNNNAAAUUAUUCAAAGAGCAGGGAACACUCUUGUCAAUUGAAGAACAAUUUAAAUACAGAAGUACUGUGGGAGCAUUGCAAUACUUGACAAUGACCAGGCCUGAUUUGGCAUUUGCUGUCAACAAGGUUUGCCAAUACCUUCAUACGCCUACUGAUGCUCAUUGGAGUGUUGUAAAGAGAAUCCUUCGUUAUGUCAAGGGCACAUUAGAUUUGGGAAUCAGAAUUCAGAAGUCUCCAACAAUGCUGCUGUCCGGAUUUUCUGAUGCUGAUUGGGCUGGUUGUCCUGAUGAUCGACGUUCAACUAGCGGCUUUGCUGUAUUUCUUGGAGCAAAUCUAAUUUCUUGGAGCUCUAGAAAACAAACCACAGUGUCCAGAUCGAGCACCGAAGCAGAAUACAAGGCCAUUGCGAAUCUGACAGCAGAAAUGAUUUGGAUAAAAUCAUUAUUGAAAGAGCUUGGUGUGUAUCAAUCAAAAGCUCCUCGACUCUGGUGUGACAAUCUAGGAGCUACAUACUUAACUUCAAAUCCAGUGUUUCAUGCAAGAACAAAACAUAUUGAAGUUGACUUCCAUUUUGUUCGAGAACAAGUGGCACGCAAAGCAAUGGAAGUUCAGUUUAUUUCAUCAAGUGAUCAAGUGGCUGAUAUCCUAACAAAACCACUGUCUAGAACUCUCUUUAUUACACAUUGUAACAAUCUCAACAUGUAUAAAACCUGUUGGGAUUGAAGGGGACUGUUAGAAUUAGUCAGUUAGAAGUGGAACACGUUUGUAGAAGUGGAACACGUUAGUUGGUUAGUUGCCUUAAGAAGCGGAUCAUGGAUCCAACCGUGUAUGCAAUCAGUUACCUUUCUUUAAUUAUAAAUACAAUACGUCCUCCACAUAGAGAGGUACAGUUAGCAAACUUUAUUAGAGCUGAAUCGGUAACAUCAUCAAGAAUGAGGAGAACCUUUGUCCGUUUGAGCCUUUCAUUGUAAUAUGGUGAAGAAGAGGAUUUCUCUUCCUUUAGAAGCUCAGACUGAUAUUUUGUUCUGAUACUGUCUAUUCCAUCUCUUUGUAUUUUUUCUUGAACGUCUAAAACAAGGCUGCUGGAAUCAAACUGCAAUGCCAAUUUGUGAUAUAUUUGAUUACAAAUUGUAGUUUUUCCUAUUCCUCCCAUGCCACAAAUUCCUAUGAUCCGAACAUCCGGUGACUCAAGAUGCAACAAGGACUGAAUUCCUUCAAUAUGUUUUUCAAUGCCGAUGAUUCCUUGAUCAUAACUGAUGGAAUAACGAUUCAAUUUUUUCAACAAGUGUGUGUUCUGUGCUGGCAGAUGAUUUAGAAAAUAAUGUAUAAGUAUUCAAGCACAAAAGCUAAACUAAAGAAAAAUUCUACAGCAUCCGUUUGUGACUUCUGAUACUAGGGAGAAGACUUGUAGGUACAAAGUUAAGCUAUAACAUGUAAUAUGGUUCAGAUCUAAGACCGACUAAUAGAAAUGAAAAAAGAAGCACUUGAUUUAGGGUGAGAUGAACACAAUUUUAGUAAAUGAAAAGAGAUCCUGAUUAUCUGGAAAGUGCGUGACCUGGUGACUUUUGAAUCCCAGCCUGCAAGUUCAGCAGCUUCGGUGAGAGCAUCCUUCCAUCCUUGCACUUUAUCGUGCUUAAAGUGCUGCUCAUGCUUUUCGAAUGCUUCUUUGUAUCUUUGUUCCUGCUUCCUAAUAGUUGAUGGAUCCACCUUGUAGAAAACAGGUAUGACAUCCCUUCCAAAUCUCUUCUUGCAUUCAAGUAUCUUAGUGAGUUCAUUCAAGCACCAAGUGGAAGAUGCAUAGUCUUGGGAGAAAACGAUGACAUAAAUCUUUGAAAAAUAAGUAUGAAAUCUAGAUAUAUAUCAUUAUCACGUGUGGAAGCUACGUCGUCUUGUAUUGGAUUUUCUAAUCUGCCUUUUAUCUUGUCUCAUUCUUCUUUAUCUUUUUUCUCUCAUCUCUCUUGCUUACGAUUUCUUUGCCUUUAUUCAGAAAUUUUAGUUAUAAUAAACCUUCAAUAAUAUUUGUACUUUCUAGCAUAUAGAAUACUUAAUGGAUCCUUUUCUGAUUUUUCUUUUCUAAAGUUCAAUUGAUUUUUUAAAUGUUUUUCUAUUUAAUUUUCCUUUCUUAAUGACACAUAAAAUGGUUCAGUGCACAAUUAAUUAUUCUCACCUUAGAUUUCAUUCAUCUCAUUCCAUUUCCACACUCAAAUCAUUCUCACAUUUGUUUCUACCUGUUUCACAAAGUUUUAGUUAAAAUAUGGAAAUUAAUGUUCAAGAACCCUACUUAAUAUUAAUAUUCAACAAUUUAAAAUAUUAAAAUGCAAAUUAAUCUUUCUUAAUAAUGUCAUUUUUAUGUAAAAAAUAAAAUGUAGUUUAGUCAUUUAUACUUAGAUGGAUAAAGAUGAUUUUAGAAAAAAAAAAUGCAUUUUAUUUCAAAGGUUAACUAAACUCUGAACUCAUUUAUGAAUUAAUAAUAAUAAAUAAUAUGUAAUUGUAUUCCAAUACCAUAUAAAUUUUUUUUAUUGGGUGCGUUUCUGAUGAAUUAAUGCACUCUAGGGACAAUGAUCGCUCUAGUAUUUGAUUUUUUAUUUAUUUUAAUGUUAAAAUUAUAGCUAUGUAGUACAGAUAUUACUGACACAGACAGACACGAACACGGACACAGAAAUACAUAAAAUCUCUAAAAUGUAGAAUACGGAGACAUUAAUCUAUAUAUUAUAUAAUUAUGAAUCAUAUAAAUUAACAAUAAAGAUUUAUGUGCACAAGUAUUUUUGAGAUUAUUUUUUAGAACAGAAAUAUGUUUUUCAUGACUAGUUCACAAAUAUUUGUUUCUUAUUCUUAUAAUCAUAAUAACAAUUUAUACCAUAAAGUUUCAAUUUUAGAAAAUUAAUGUAUUUUUUCUUUUUAAAAUUUCGUUAGAACUGUACUAGAAUUGUAAAAAAUCUAACAAAUACAUUUUGAAUUGGACAUUCCACGAAUACGUGUCCUACCAGUAUUUUGAACAACAUUCUUUCUUUUGGAACAAAGAGGGCAUAUGCCGCAGUCUUUUACUGUGAUAACUCAUUUCAACUCUCACACAACUGAUUCGUAAUCUGUGGGAUGCAUUAAAGCCUUUUGCAGUUAAAUCAAUAGUAUAUGAUGAUGUGAAUGUUAUUUAUAUACUAAAUAUAAUCACAUAGUAACUUCAAAUUUGAUAAGGUACAACAUGUUACCAUAUCUCUUUUAAUUUAUUUUAUUUCAUUAUAUAUUUAGGUGUAUUUAAUUUCUUUUAUUUCAUUGUGUAUUUAGGUGUAUUACGUAAAAUAUAUAAUUAAAAAGAAAGAAGAAUAAUGUUAUUUUGAAAUUUAAAGAAGACAUAUAGAAAUAAACAAGCUUUUGCUAAGAUUCCACCAUUGAAAAGGAACAUAGAACAAUCUUGACAAUUAUACUUUGACUUAUUUUAAUUUCUUAUAUUUAUGAGUAUUAUUUUUUCUUAAACAUAGAUAUUGGAUAAAAAAUACAAAUAACAUUUCUUUAUUUCAAAUUUAAAAAUAUUUUAAAUUAAAAUAAAAUAAUUUUUUAAUUAAGAUAUAACAAAAUAUUCUUUAACAAAUUAUUUUAAUUUCAAAAUAAUUAAUUCAGAGGACGAUUGAAAAAAUAUUAAAUAUUAUAAUAAAGCUUCAAUAAUAUUUGUACUUUCUAGCAUAUAGAAUACUUAAUGGAUCCUUUUAUGAAUUUUCUUUUCUAAAGUACAAUUGAUUUUUUAAAUGUUUUUCUAUUUAAUUUUUCUUUCUUGACACAAAAUGUUCAGUGCACAAUUAAUUACUCACCUUAGAUUUCGUUCUUCUCUUUCCAUUUCCACACUCAAAUCAUUUUCACCUUUUUUUUCUUCUUAUUUCACAAAACUUUAAUUAAAAUAUGGAAAAUAAAGUUCAAGAACCCUGCUUAUAUAUUAAUAUUCAAAAAUUUAAAAUAUUAAUAUGCAAAUGAAUAUUUCUUAAUAAUUUUAUUUUGAUGUAAAAAAUAAAAUGUAGUUUAGUCAUUCAUACUUAGAUGGAUAAAGAUGGUUUUAGAAAAAAAAAAAGAAUAUGCAUUUUAUUUGAAAGGUUAUCUAAACUCUGAACUCACUGAUGAAUUAAUAAUAAUAAAUAAUAUGGAAUUCUAUUCCAAUACCAUAUAGGAUGGAGAAAAGUAAGAAGAGGAUUUACACAUUACCCUUUCAAAUGGAGCUCCUCAGGAUUUCAUAAUGCCUUCACUGCAAAUGCAACCCAAAUAUGCUAAAAAAGUUAAUGAAACUAUAUAUGAAGAGUUAAUGAAACUAAAUGGCGUGUGCUGAAAUUUUUGAUCCGAUAACCAUGCCCACAUUCAAAAAGUGAAAGGUUACUUUGCUUUAUAUUCCUUUGGGUGGUGCUACUUUUCAACUUGACAACAAAUUCCCAUUAUUGUGUGGUUAUCAAUUACCAUUUAACUUAUUCUCAUACCACAUUCACUAUAUAAUAGUCCAUCAUAAACCCCAAAAUUUGCACAUUUUCUAUUUGCAAGACAUCCAACAGACAAAGAAAACAUGUGAAACUGUGUAAUAAUGUGAGAACGUAAGAACUUACUUCAUCAUGAAAUCAAGCCAUGCCUGAGGGUUUUUUCUGAGAGCAUUCACCACAGGUGCAUAUUCAUGUGGCUGUAUCCCAUACUCAGCUAGUAUUUCUGCUACCUCUGCCGCUUCUUUUUUUGUCAAAAAACACAUAUUCAUUAUUAAUGUGCAAUCAAAUGGUAACGAAACUAUGUAGUACAAACACACACUGAUACGACACUAGGACGAACAUACGUAUAAUGUUACUCCUUCUAUGGAAAUGAAGGAUAUUCAGCAAUAACUUUUAAAACUCAUUACAUAGAAAUUUGCAUCAAGUUAUCAAAGUCUAUAGGAAUGAAUUUUCAAUUCAUGGAAACACAGAUAACAAAAAGUAAUAGAAAAAUAGAAAAAAAGUUGUCAAAUGAUUCUAUAAAAAAUUAACCUAUCAUGAAAAUCAAGAUGAUAGAAAAUAAAAUAAUGUGGCAUGAACAUCAAAAUCGUAUAAAAGCAUAAUAGAAGAACAGUGGAUACCAGUUUCUGGCACGGCGAUGAUUUCUUCUUGCUCUCUUUUCAAUUCCCUCGAGUAAUUAUCGGCUUCACUUUUUGCUGCCAAAUAACUGCACAAUGAAAAUUAACAUGAAAUAAUAACGGAAUUUAAAUUGAGUUUUGUGAGUGUGAAGAGUGUGGUUGAACGUACCCGCCGAGGCCCAUGGAGAUGGCGCCGGCGGCGACUUCCGCUAUGCCAGCGGUGAGAACGAUGGAGGAGGUGACAUUGGCGCCGGAGAGGCCGGCGGCGAGGGCGAAGGGGACGGUGAGGCCGUCGGAAACGCCGAUGAUGAUGUCGCGGACUAUUUCGCCGGCGGUGAAGUGCUUCUCGGUGUGGUGGUUGAGAAGGUUCGUUCUCUCAGAAUCCACGCUUAUGCCGUGUUCGGUGGCGGCCAUUGGUGCAAGCUUGUGAAUGUGUUUGAGUUCGCCAACGUGCUCUGGGAAUCCAAACAAAGCCUUGCUGCUUUGCACAUAAAUUGAGCCUCUUUUGUGCUCAACUUACUCCUAAAUAGAACAAAAAUAUCUAACCGUUGAUGAUAUCCACGUGGAAAAUUAUCAAUGGAUAUCAAUAUCACAUUAUUUCUACACUAAUAUUUUAAUUAUUUUUAAAUAUUAUAACUAAAUCAAUCAAUAUAAUACCAAAUCUUCUUAAUUCUUUGGAUUAUAUAUAUUUUAUUUUAUUUUAUUUAUAAAGGAAGUUGUGAUAAAUGUUGUGUUUUGUGUGCACAUUAAUAAAAAUCAAAUAACCAAAAAAUAAUAAUCUUGUGAAAGAAAAAAUGGUAGAAUUUAUACUAUUCUACAAAAUUUUAAAAGUGGCUAAUGUGUUUUACUCAACUAUGUAAAUAAUUUUGGACUCUCUUGUUAAGGAAAUAAUGAAAUACAUUAAAUUUUGUUUUAUACUCUUACUUUAAGUUUUUUUGUGUUUCUCCUGACUUAAUUAAAUAUCAGAGAGUCGUCUUUUGCAGGUAGAUUUCAUUCUAUCAUAAUAUACCAACUGAAAACUUGUUUUCUGAAAAACACACGGCUCUCACCGAAUUGCACUUUCCAAUUUUUUUUAAUAGAAAUAAUAAUAAUUAAGUAUUUGUGUUCUUAUAUUUAAUUUUUAAUAAAAAAAUUAUUCUUAUGUACUUCUAAAUUGAUAUAUUUUACCAAUGUCUAUUAACAAUGGGAAGAAGUUUAUACCUAACAAAACUAUUUAACAUGAUUUGUUUGUAAAUUAUAGAAGUAUGUGUAGAAAGAUAUAAAAUUAAUGUUUUAAGAGAAAUUUAAGCAACUUUCAUAAUAUAUUGUAGAUUAUUAGUUGAAUUUAUGGAAAUUAAAAAUAAAUUGUAGGUCACCACACUUCCACUUUUUUUUAAUGAUAUCAAAUCACAACUUUACAAUUUUCACUAAUUUUUAACCAAUAACAAAAGAACAUCUUAGAAGAAGUGUGUUUAAGAAUUUGAUGUUAACUCUCAUUGUUUUUUAAACUUAAAUCCAGCUUUAUUCUUCAACUUUUAAUUUUUAUACAUAUUUAAUUGUAUAUAUAGUUUUUAACUCUCUAAAAUCAAACAAUUUUAAUUCAUUAAAUAGGCAAUGUCAUGAGUGUUAAACUUUUAACAUUUUUCUAGUAAUUAAAUUACUUAUGAAGAUUCAACUAAUUCAAAAUUUAAUAUUUUUACAAUUUUUAUUAUAAUAUUCUUAAAAUAUAUUUUAAUAUUUUGUUUUUCAUGUUUGAAAUAUAAAUGUUUUAAAAAAUCAUUUUAAAUUAUUUUGUUUCUCAUCUUAUGUAAUAAAUUACUAUAAUAAUUACUAAAACAUUUAAUACCUAUACAUUUUUAAUGAGCAAAAACUAAUAAUGAAUUAUAACAAAUAAAAAACGUUUCUGGGCAACAAAAUAGUAAUUAAUAUGAAUUAUAACAAAUAAUGAACGUUUUGUGGUAAUUUGUUUCACUUUCAAAUAAGUUAGUACUUCGCCUGUUAUUUCAUAACGGUAGUUUUUUUAAAUAUAUUAAGAAAAAUGUUUAUUUUUUUAUUUUUAAUGCACUUUUAAGUAACUUGCCUAUUAUAUUAUAUUAUAUGGGUAUUAUAUAUAUAUAGGUAAGCACCAAAAAAUAAAUUUAAGGUAAAAGUGAUAUAAUUAAAAUAAAAUAAAUUAUUAUUAAAUAGAAAAUAUAUAUAAUUAAAAAAAUCAGUUAUUUAAGUUUUAUUUUAAAAUAAUUUUUGUAAAAAAAUUUUCUUUUUUUCCUUGUUCACGAUUUUAAAUUUUAUAUUCACUUGGUAGACAUGUUUUGCAUGUGGUGUUUGGGACUUAAAAGAAUAAUAUAUGUUAGUUCAAGAUCCUAAUGAUGUGUUUUUAAGAAGUUGGACUAUCUUUGUUUUUUUAAGAAGUUGAAGUCUUUUUAUGAAUACUUAUCUUUUUAAACAGGUAAGAUAAACUAGUUUUAUCUGUAAAACUUAAGUUAGAAUAUCUGAAUAUGAAAUGUGAUUCUUCAUAUGAUUAUGAUUGAAUGAUUCAAAAUUCAAGUAUAAAGUUUUAAGAAUCAUUAACUUAUGUUUUUUUUUUUGUGCUAUUUUUUUGAUUUUUUGCAAUGAUUGUGUGUUGCAUGUGAGCAAAUGAUGUUACAAGUUGUAAACCUAAAAAAAAAUCAUGAAAUUUUGUCUUUUUUAUUCUUUUGAUAUUUUAUCUUAAUGAUAUAUAUAUAUAUAUAUAUAUAUAUAUAUAUAUUUAAAAAUCUCUAUAUGAAAGGAUAGUAUUUUAUGAUAUAAUAAUAUGAUAAUGUAAAUGUUAUUUAUAUAAUAAAUAUCAUGAGAUAAUUUAAAUUUUGAUAAGAUAAAUGAAGAUGUUACAAUAUCUCUUUUAAUUUUUUUUUAUUUCAUUAUAUAUUUAGGCGUAUUUAAUUUCUUUUAUUUCAUUGUAUAUUUAGGUGUAUUACGUAAAAUAUAUAAUUAAAAAGAAAAAAUAAUGUUAUUUUGAAAUUUAAAGAAUGACGUAUAGAAAGAAACAAGCUUUUGUUAAAAUUCCACCAUUGAAAAGGAACAUAGAACAACACUCUUGACAAUUAUACUUUGACUUAGAUACUUAUUUUAAUUUAUUAUAUUCAUGAGUAUUAUUUUUUCUUAAACAUAGAUAUUGGAUAAAAAUUAAUAAAAUUUAUUUAUUUCAAAUUUAAAAAUAUUUAAAAUUAAAAUAAAAUAAUAUUUUUAAUUAAGAUAUAAAAAAAUAUUCUUUACAAAUUUUUUUAAUUUCAAAAUAAUUAAUUCAGAGGAUGAUUGAAAAAAUAUUAACAAUCUAUUUAUGCGUUUAUAGUAAACCUUCAAUAAUAUUUGUACUUUCUAGCAUAUAGAAUACUUACUGGAUUUCUUACUCUUUCUUUCUACACCUCUAUCCAUACUAAAUAUAAAAAUACCAUUUUAUUCUUUUUUCUCCACCCCUUGAAUUUGAAAUAAUAAGCCCAUGGAUUAUGUAAUCUGGAUAUAUUCCGGAUUAGUCAAUUUCAUAUUUAGAAAAGACUUUCGGAUUAUGUAAUCCAGAAGCUAAUAAAACAUCUGAAAAAAAGGCUUCCGGAUUACAUAAUCCGGAAGCUAAUCUUAUGUAUAGAAAAGACUUUCGCAUUAUGUAUUCCGGAAGCUAAUCACAAAAGACUUCUGGAUUACAUAAUCCAAACGCUAAUUCUAAAUCUAGAAAAAAGACUUCCGGAUUAUGUAAUCCGGAAUAUUAAAAAAGAUAUUUUUGAAAUACGAAAAAUUUAUGGGGGUGACACAAGAAGGUAUGGAGGUGCAGGAAGAAACAGCCUGGAUUCCUUUUGUGAUUUUUCUUUUCUAAAGUACAAUUGAUAUUUUAAAUGUUUUUCUAUUUAAUUUGUCUUUCUUAAAUGACACAUAAAAUGUUCAGUGCACAAUUAACUACUCACCUUAGAUUUCGUUCUUCUUUUUCCACUUCCACACUAAAAUCAUUUUCACAUUUUUUUUACCUAUUUCACAAAAAUUUAAUUCAAAAAUGGAAAUUAAAGUUCAAGAACCCUACUUAUAUAUUAACAUUCAACAAUUUAAAAUAUUAAUAUUCAAAUUAAUCUUUCUUAAUGUUAUGAAAAAUUUAAAAUGUAGUUUAGUCAUUCUUGGAUGGAAAAAGAUGGUUUUAGAAGAAAAAAAUGCAUUUUAUUUGAAAGGUUAUCUAAACUCUAAACUCAUUGAUGAAUUAAUAAUAAUAAAUAAUAUGGAAUUCUAUUGGAAUAGCAUAUAAAUGUUUUGUUGUUGAAACUGAUAAUUGGGUGCGUUUCUGAUGAAAUUAAUUAAUGCAGUCUAGGGACAAUUAUCGCUCUAGUAUUUCAUUUUUUUAUUUUUAACGUUGAAAUUAUAAUUAUACAAUUCCGUUUUUAGAUAUUAAAAUGAUAGUUUUCAUUUACAGAUUAAAAUAUUACUUGUUUCUUUUAAGAUUUUUUUGGUAUUAUAAUUAUUUGUUAGCUGAAUUGUUUUGCGUUAACAUGUUGUUUUCUUGGGCUAUGAUGUAAGCAAUAUAAAUGUUAUUUUUAAUGUAAGCAAUAAAAAUUAUGAGUAUUCAAAGUCGUGUAAUUACUUAAAAGAAUCAAGUGAUUUUUAAAAGAACUCACACGAUCAGUUUUAAUUUUGACGAUAAAAUAUAUUAGUUAUAUAUAUUUAUUCAAAAUUUCAAUUAUACUAUGCAUUUAUGGUUUUAUGCUUUUAGAGGAAUCAGUAACUUAGAAAAGCUCCCAAAAACUAAUGAAAUCCCAUGAAUGAAGAAGGAGAACAAAUGGAAGUGAAAAAUCAGUAAGAUGAUAAUUAAUAAACACCCUCUCUUAAUAACAUAACAUAGGAGUCUUUAAACUUAUAUUCUUCAAACAAUUAUAAGCUGUCUUCAACUUUACUGUUAAACUACAAUUAUAAAGAAUUAACAAUCUCACACACCAACAACAUUUAUAAGUCAUCACUCACAUGCAACAAGGUGUGCCUCAAUGUGAAAAAACCAAGAUCAAUAAGAAAUGAGGUUCCACUUAACCAAGCUGAGAAUUGUCUGGUUUUCCAGCUCCAUGCACAAACCUAAUACAAUGAUAUGAUAUUCAAUACCAAGAGGUACCUUGUCGUAAAACUGAGAAUAUGAGGUUGCAUAGGAUGGAGAAAAGUAAGAAGAGGAUUUACCAAUUACCCUUUCAAAUGCAGCUCCUCAAGAUUUCAUAAUCCCUUCACUGCAAAUGCAACCCAAAUAUGUUAAAGAAGUUAAUGAAACCGAAAUAUGAAGAGUUUCAAAAUAAAAAUUUAACAUGUUGAAACUUGUAAUUUAGAAGUAUUGACUAUAAGGCAGUUUAGAUCCUGACCAAUGAAAGACUAAUAAGCAGAAGAGGAAGAGACUAGUUGACUGGCUAGCUUUCGGCCUUCCACUUCCUAUCUUCCCUUGUUUCUCUUGAAGACUGUGCAACAUUGCUUCCACUGGAUUCUUCAAUCUCAACAGCACCACCAUAUUCAUCAUCUUUCUUUUUCGUAUAAAGAGGGCAUAUGCCGCAUUCUUUUAUUGUGAUAACUGAUUUCAACUCUCUCACAACUGAUUCGUAAUCUGGCCACCCAAAGUCAUAAUCACACGGACUGAUCUCAAAAGUGAAGCUGCGAGCAUCACAUAGCCUGAGGCUCAUGCCGCUCGCCCUUAGGGACUCCAAGUUAAAUUUCCACACGAAUGUGUGAUCUUUAUCAACACAUCUCUCUUCACCAUUCCAUUUGAAAUAGCUGUUUAACACAUCAUUAUUUGGAAUGAUCUGUGUGCCAUCAUCAUCAGAUUCAAAUGUUAGGCUGUAACUAAAAGAACCAUAUCUACCAUUCAUAGCAUACGUAUCUAACACUCCAAAAACCACACUCAAAGCGAAACCAGUGAGCCUAUCAUCGCUGCAGAAACUUAAAUCUUCAUUUAUAGUCACUGAAUGUCCCUUCCCACGAAAAUUGAACCAACCAGGAACUGCACUCCCUGGAAAACAGAAGAACACACACCUAUAUGCAUCGUCGGUCAUCCUAAGCCUUGCAUCCUCCUCAAUGUUAGCACGACCACCUGAAUCCAGUUGUUGAGCAUUGGUGAAAUGAAAUUUAAAUACACCCUCUUCGGAAUUUGAGAGGUUUCGAACAAGAGAAUUUGGCAUCACUCUUCUAAUGGAUGGGCAAUCCAAUGCCACGAGUUGUUUCAGAAAUGGUGGAAUCUGUGGGAUGCAUUCAAGCUUUUUGCAGUCGCUUAAAUCAAGCGAUUUCAAACUUGAAAGAUGAGCAAUGCUCCCAGGAAGGUUCACGAUUCCGCUAUUACGCAGUGAAAGUUUCAUUAAUGACGUCAAACGACCAAUGUGUCUAGGGAUUUCUGUUAAUUUGGGGCACCCCGAACAAUCAAGUUUAGAGAGAAGCUUCAGAUUAACAAUGCAGUUUGGAAGUGAGUCGAGAUCAGUGCAUUUGUGGAGCUCCAGGGAUCGAAGAUUAACCAAAUUGCCAAAUGAGGAAGGCAAUUCUUUAACAGCCGUAGAUGUUAAGUUAAUGUGAGCAAAAGUAUGAGCCGGCUCCGUGAUCUCUGGGAAGGACCUCAGCCUUGAGCAACCACCUAAAUCAAACUUCCUCAAUUUCAAAUUGAAAAUGGUGCUUGGAAAAGUUUGAAGUGAAUUACAGUGGGUAAGGUCUAACUUGCAUAGUCUGGUGAGGGUUCCAAUGGAAGAUGGAAUAAUCUGAAGAUUGAAGCAACUGCGCAAACUCAGUUGUUGAAGCCCUACCAAACGGCACAAGGAUGAAGGUAGUGCCUGUAUGGCUGUGUCGUCUAAGAUGAGCACCGCUAGAUCUUCCAACGUGUCCUGAAUCUGGGGUAAAUAUUCCAAUUUUGAGCAACCACGGAGAGAAAGUUGCUUUAGGAAUUUCAUAUCAGAAAGGUCAAACGGAAAGAUUGUAAGGGAAGAACAGUCAGAGAGAUCUAAGUAACAGAGGUUCUUGAGACUUUGAAAGUUCAAGGGCACACCUCCUCUGAGAUUUGCCGACACUUCAAAUUGUAAGUAUAGAGUAUUAUUAGCCACUUCUUCAU
This 76074-nucleotide long non-coding RNA is filed under the name Phaseolus vulgaris (common bean). RNAcentral's name for it is "long non-coding RNA (PVUL_LNC004765)". The stretch from base 60877 to 61015 matches the Rfam family "Small nucleolar RNA Z247". Lineage: Eukaryota; Viridiplantae; Streptophyta; Magnoliopsida; Fabales; Fabaceae. The record is from RNAcentral.